This 87627-nucleotide long non-coding RNA is filed under the name Volvox carteri. RNAcentral's name for it is "long non-coding RNA (VCAR_LNC002004)". The record is from RNAcentral. Lineage: Eukaryota; Viridiplantae; Chlorophyta; Chlorophyceae; Chlamydomonadales; Volvocaceae.
CGUCGCCGCCGUCGCCGUCGCCGCCGUCGCCGUCGCCACCGUCGCCGUCGCCGCCAUCACCGUCCCCGCCGUCACCGUCGCCGCCGUCACCGUCGCCGCCGUCACCGUCGCCGCCAGAGCCCUCGCCGUCACCACCGUCGCCACCAGCGCCGUCGCCGUCACCACCGUCACCACCGUCGCCGCCGGCGCCGGGGCCAUCACCACCGUCACCACCGUCGCCGCCGUCGCCGGCGCCACCACCACCGUCACCACCGUCACCACCGUCGCCGCCGGCGCCGCCGCCAUCAACACCGUCGCCACCGUCACCACCGUCACCACCAUCACCGCCGUCACCGCCGUCACCACUGCCGCCGUCGCCUAAACCUCCUAGCCCGCCCCCAUCNNNNNNNNNNNNNNNNNNNNNNNNNNNNNNNNNNNNNNNNNNNNNNNNNNCCACGGGUGAGGAGCCCACCGCCAUCGUCGCCACCGACCCUUCCCUCACCGCGUCCGCCUCUCCCGUCUCCUCCACCAGCUCUACCUCCACCCACCCCGCCGCCACCAUCACCCACCCCGCCGCCACCAUCACCCACCCCGCCGCCACCAUCUCCCACCCCACCUCCACCAUCUUCCACCCCACCUCCACCUUCGUCAACAUCACCACCACCUUCCACAACCUCCCCACCUCCGCCUACAUCCUCCCCAUCUCCCACUUCCUCCCCCUCCCCGGUACCCUCCCCGUCCAAAUCGUCCCCACCGCCGCCAUCUGCACGCCCAGGCAAGCGCCCAAGUGCGCCCCCGCCCAAGGCCGCCAAGGCGCCCAAGCCCCCGCCACCAGCCAAGGCGCCCAAAGCUCCCAAGACGUCCAAGGCGCCUUUCGUGCCUAAGUCACCUUUCGUGCCCAAGUCACCUUUCGUGCCCAAGUCACCUUUCGCGCCCAAGACCCCCAAGGAACCCACACCAGGCAAGGCCCCUAAGGCCUAUCGAAGCCCCAAGCCGCCCAAGUAGAGGCGGUCUUGCUUGGCGAGCACCCGCUGACGGAACCAGCCAGUUGCGUCAGUCAACAGCAGCACCUGUCCUAGCCGGGGGUAUGCAUGCUGUACCCGGACAGGGCAGUGAUGUGCGGAGUGCAGUGUGCGUGCUGGUGGGGGAGUGUCGGACCGCCAUGCCCGCAUUUAUAGGCAUCAGCGUAACCACUUCAACUCGCAGGACCGCCAUGCGGCGAGCUGUAGCGGCACUGCGUUAGGCAGGGCCUUCUUGCCAUGGGCAGGAGCUUUACUUAGGCAUGGCAGUGACGUCGGUCCACUGCUGCUCAGUGUGCGCGGACGGGAAAGCGAAAACGCAGCGGGGACGUGGCGGCUGGACAGCGGCUGUGGACGUCAAGUCCUUGAAGCCGUGCAUGCGUCCUUCACGAACCGCGUUCUCAACAUAUCAAAACUGCAUGGCGACCGACCUAUCUACCUCUACUCGCAGAGCUUGGUGGCUUUGGUGCACACACAUGCCACGUUAAUUACUCGAGGGGUGAAUGGUUGUCGCCACCAGCACUGAAACUGUCGCAUUUUUUUGCUUUCAUCCAUUGAUAUUACGCAUGGAAAGCUGUGGAAAGUCGUAGAGACUUUUAUUUGAGUUUCGGCAAAGGUACAUAAUGAUUUUACAUAUUAUGAAGCCCCCAGAUUGUGGGGUUAUGACAGAUAUUCCCAUGUGGUCGCUCCGGAAGGGAUCACCGAAAAUCUCAUAGAAAAAACCCCGGUAUGUUAUUCGCUGAGUGGAGCGCUCACAUGCGCUUCGUUCCAAAUUGUGGCUGACUGCGUGGUGAUGGUGGUGUACAUGUGCAGGUUGGCUAUCGCCGUGUUAGUGAUUGAUGAGUAAUUCAGAGACUUAAGCUGUUGUAUGCGAAGAUUGUACCGAUAAGUGGAUAGUAGAUAUGUUGUGUAUUAAACCAGUUGUUACAACACGUUUUAAAAAAUGUACCAAUCGGCGGAUUCAGAUCCCGUGAUAUUCCCAGGAUACUAAACCAGGCAGCGGAUACAGAGCAAUUUCCACGAUGCACGUUACUUAGAUUAAGAGGUAGAGCAAGGGAAAAAGGCAAGUCCCUGCCAUAAAUACAAGCGAUGUCCUGUCCAUGAUAGUUCGCUCCAGAACCAGUACCGUGAUUUCUCCACGCUACGAUACGCCCAAGUCCUGCGCGAGCUAUCAAUACUUUCCACAAGCAGAAUUUUGGUGCGCUCAUAACAAAAACUCAGCUGACUCCCAUGCCCCUCGCCGGAACAUCACACCACACAGCUACCACCAACCCGCAAUGGGCAUGGCGCGGUAGUAGUGCUUAUGGACCGCCUGAGCAAAAUGACGCACUUUGCGUCCCACAAAUACAUCCAUCGAUCUGGGUGUGGGUGUGUGUUACACGGUCGUGGGGUGCGCUCCCCGUACACACCUGCAAACCGCCCAAUACGAGCCGAGGGCUGAAGGGCUGCCAGAUCGCCUAGAAGCACCAUCCUACCUCGCACUUUAGACAAAGCAAGUGGUAAAGCACACUAACGACCAAAGGGGACGAUAGAGUUGCGGUGGGAACAUAUACGUUACAGCAUCCUUGCCAGACGUUCAGGUUCCCACUUCAUAGUGUCCUUCAUGUGCUCGAAACGUGGGGGAAAUCCAACCCAGAUCUGAUUUCUGAUUCGUACACCGGCCAGUCCAGCAAAAUGUGCUUCUGAUCUUCAAUAUGGCUAUCAGUGCCGCAGCAGGGCCUACUCGCUCCUCCUAGUUAUAUAACGCCGUCCCUUGCGCACUCUGUUAGCCGCCAAUGCCCAACAGCAAAGCCUAAACCGCGUAAGCAUGCGAUUCGCUGAACGCGGGAUGAAUGUUGUGAUAUGCGGGAGUACCUCCUUCCUGCCCGCUUGCUCAGCCGCUAGACUCAUCCAAUGCCUAUACUUCGCCACCUGGAUUCCUGGUUGCUUGCCGUCUGAUGGGUACAGGUCUGGCUGGGCAUCUAGACGCGUGUGCAUCCAACCGCUCAUCAACCGAUCCUUGAACUCCGAUACCAAACCUCCUCUGUGCACCCCCGAGGUCGGGCUACUGCCGGCUGUUGGAGAACUUGGCGGUGGAGGACCCGCGCGCCUUCCUGUUCCACUACUACAACUUCUACUUUGCACAUAUGGCGGGUGGCAGAGUGAUCAGGGCUAAGGUGCGUGCUGGUGUUGCGCCGGGUUGUGUGUGGGGGAGGUGUGGGGGGUGUAUGUGGGGGGUGGGGAAAUGGGUGGGGACAGGGAGGUUGAGGAGGGGGCGGGUGGUGGCCGGCGGUCAAGGGUGAGUCUUCCGAGUGAGUGCUGUGCGGGCAUGCACGGAUUGCUGAUGUGGCGGGGCUCGAAUCGUACAUAUGAUGUUCACUUUAUUCGACCUCCACCGCGUGCUUUUAUUUGCGUAUUUCAUCCGUAAGGAUAUCCCCAAGGAUACGAACAAACGCAUAGACAUGCGGCCAUUCUUCUCCCAUAUUGCACCCGUAUUUACCGGCUCUCCCUCCGCUGAUUUGGUUGCUCCUUGCACCCAAUGAUUCUCCCCUCCUGCGCCAAUUGGGACGUCUGGCUUCAAGUGACAGCCAUGUUGCUGGACAGCCAUAAUCUGGAGUUUUACCGUUGGCCAGCUGGCGAUGUGAGCGAGCUGUGAAUGGAGCGAGUCUGCAAGUCGCCACCGGGUGAACGGAGGGAAUGGGAGGGAGGGAGAGGGGGAAGGGGGGUAAAUGCUUCAUGAGGAUUGGGGGAGUUUGGUGAGAGCUCGAGGGUGCUGUGCGCGGUGUGUGACGCUGCAUUCUGGGGGCGAGGUGAGAGGGGAAUUCAUCAGUACGGAACCGGAGGCCUUCGCAAAAUGUCGGAAUACUUCAAAAGCAUUACGACGCAUUUUAUACGUAUCAUUUGUAAAAGAUGGGGGCCCUUGUGAAGCAGCUGCCCGCGUUUCUAAAGCACGUAUGGUGUUGGAUUGUAUGGUGCCCAAGUACGUUUGCGAGGAAGAUAAUGUGGCCAGGCUGGAGAGGAAAGUGCAGUGGCAUAUUGGAAUGUGAGAUUAGCGUAAGCGAGUUACAGGGCGUUUUAUUGCACGGGCGAAUUUACGUGCAAAUCUUUCACCGUAGCAUCAGUCCUCAGUUCAUUUCUUGGAACGAACAUCAGCAUAGGUGCAAGCCCUCUCGCUUGGGGGGAUAUGCAAACAAACAUCCUGAUAGGGGUAAACUCGCAUGCUACCGAGCAUUCAACCGAGCACAUGCAUGCUUAGUUGAAUGGUGAGAUGCGACCCCCCCUUCAUUUCGUGCUCGGCAAGCCUGCCACCGCGUACCGGAUAUGUUGGCGAUGUUACAGAACGCUGCACCUUGGUUUCUGUGCGCAAUGCAUACGUUGCUCGACCCCGCCGACCAAAACUACACGUGCCCAACUGAAGACACACCGGUGGUUGUGCAGCAGCUCUUGAGGCUUUGUUGGCUGAAAUCCAUCCUGAGACGCUGCACCUCGGUACCUGUGCGCAAUGCGUACGCUGCUCGCCCGCGCCGACCAAAACUACGUGUNNNNNNNNNNNNNNNNNNNNNNNNNNNNNNNNNNNNNNNNNNNNNNNNNNCCUCAGCGGCAUCCAUUUUACUUGCAAGGUUCUGAACGACUUUCGCGAUUCUUCUCUUUACCUAAUUCUGCGUUGUUGAUAUUUAUUUCGUAAGAGUGUAACUUGAGUUUAGUGGGAACAAUGUGCAUUAUGCGCUGCGCUACCGAAAGCAGGCGCCUUAUGGCUGAUUCUUCGCCGACCGCUUCAUCUUCCGCGGCAGUUUCACGAGCCCAGAGUUGCAAGCUACGACCGUGCUUUUAGUUACUGCAAAGCAUCCACGCAAUAGUCCAGCCUGCAUGCCGCGUGCGGCUGUGGCCAACAUGCCCACCUGCGCAACGCGCUGGCGCACCUCGGCCUUUUCGCCAAAAAAAUAUAUACACUUGUACACGCACAAUUUGUGAAUCGCACGCGCGCACCCGCGCGGUGAAAUUCGCUCCUGGCUUUUGGGGCGUGAUGUACGGACCUUUUAUUCGCGAAGUACGACCGGACACAUUUCUGCGAGGGGCUGCUUAAAUAUUUUGUCUCUGCUACGAUUAGCUACAUAACUGGCCCGUUUGCUGCGCGCACGAUGGAUGGAGAAGGGCGACGGCCGAGGGUGCUGCUGGGAAGCACAGGUGUAUACUUAAUAACCAUCGAAAUGAACAUAUCGCUAACCAAAGCGCUUCGGCUAGCAAGUCAACAUUAAAAUUCCUUCGGUUCUGGUUCCUAUCGGAAAUACGCCUUGCAGGCAGUGUAGCCAGUAUCAAGGUCGCUGCUCUAUGCCGUUUGCUACUCGAUUUCGCUGAUGUUAAGCUUAUUGUAACAACCUCGGCAAGACAUUUUAUCAACGAGGCCGACCUGCCUCCGGAAGUCAAGCCAGUUUUCGGGGUGCGUUGGACAAAAAAUAUAGGACAAUUGAGUGGCCCAAGACUUACGUGGGCAAUAAAGGCGCAGACUUAACAUACAGCGUUCUUCAAGGAAAAAUCCAAACGUCCAAUUUCAUGUCCGCUUUGUCGUGCACGACCUUACCAGGGCGGCGUCCACAAGGUACGCCCAUGCUUUCCUACCAAUGCCCGCCCACCCACCAACCAGGCAACCAGUUCCCUUCGGGCCAACUAGUACGUCUGACCCUGUCGUCCCCCGGCUCCCUUCAAAUCCCCAUCGCCGUCCCCACCCCUCCCAAUCUCAACCCCACCCCGCUGCCUCCUCAUGUAACCAAAUCCGCCCAUACCUAACCCCCACUCUCUUCUCAACACACGUACAAACGCGGCUCAGUCCUUAGAAACACCCACAUGAGUCCGAAGUUCCUCCCGUGUGCAAAGAAUUCCACUUGGGUCGCUCUGAAACGUAUCACGUGCAGGACGAGGCAGAGUGGCGGCAAUGGCGCGCUGUGGGCGACCCCGUCCUUCACAUUGAGCUGCGUCGGUGGGCAGAUAUUCUGUUGGUAGCACCGCUGUCAGCUAACACUCUGGCCAAGAUGGCCAACGGGAUGGCAGACAACCUGCUCACAUGCGUCGUACGAGCCUGGGAUUUCACCAAGCCGCUCAUGGUAAGGUGGCUAGGAGAAGGCGCAGGAGGGGGGGAGGUGGUGAGGGGGGUUCCGCCUAAGCGCGAUGACACUUAAGGAGUGGGAAAACGCGGGGCCAGAAGGAGGACGACGGGCUUUGUGCCAGGGGCAUAUGUUUGCGGGAAGACGCAAGCCCUUCAGCUCUCCACACCGGCAUGCCAAGUCGAUGAUGGCAGUGCGUGCAGGGCAUUGAGAUGCCUGGGAUGUAUGGGCACGUGGGAAGAGAGAUGUGGGGUAAGGCAGCAGCGUGAGGAUCUAGCUGGGAAGAGGUCGGUCAUGUUAAGAGGCGAAAGAGAGGUAUCGUAGUGAUUGUUUAUGGUAAUCACCGCCCGCGGACCACCUCCUCAGCGACCCCAGCCCCGAUUCGUAGUUACACGGGUGGAAAUCUCGGUGCAUGUCAGUCCCAUAAGCCCUAAUCCCGUCUCACAGGUUCCGGUCUCCUCUCGCCACUAUACCACUGGAACACCAAAGCCCUCAAGACGAUCCAAACAACCAAAACGCUCCAACGGCCAACAACCAACUCCAAACCUCCACAGGUGGCUCCCGCCAUGAACACGGCCAUGUGGGUCUCGCCCUUCACCUCCCGCCACUUGGACACGUUGACCCAACUUGGCAGUUGCAAUUGCGGCAAUAGCAACAGCAGCAGUAGCAGCUUUGUCAUCGUUGCGCCGGUCAGUAAGCGACUUGCAUGCGGCGAUGAGGGCACAGGCGCUAUGGCGGCGCCAGAGGAUAUCGCGGCGAGGUGCCGUCAAGUGCUGCUUGGAGCUGACGGGGGAGCUGGCUGAGGAAGAGUCACAUCCCUGGGGCUGCAGCUCCAGGGAUUGCCUCAGCUGCCACCGUCGGGGCUGGUGCCAGUGCUAUAAUGAGCAGUAACAGCAUGAAUGGCAUCAUCAUCACAUCAAGAUUAGCAAGAACAUCAAUGGGCAGGCAGAGUAGUGGCAGUUGUAUAGUUUCUUGGCGGUGGAGGGUGGACCGACGGCUAUAGCAACACAAAUAGCAAUAGCAGCAGCAGGGGUAUGGGUGGAUGCGUGAGGGGCAACCGCAAUAGUGUUUAUGUGUGAUAGGAAGGCUCCAACGGGAAAAGCGCAGGAAUUGUUUUUGGCAGUGACAGUGACGGCGGCGGGGACGGCAAAACGCUGAUGGAGCAGAUUACGGAGGCUUGCAGACUUCAAUGAACUAUUUUAGCGUCUUUGGUUUGUGCGUCGUAUGUGUGCUCUUAGCUAUGUUGCUUCCCGUUGAGACAUUUGCAGUUGGCCUCGACCCUUUGUGCACGUGCUGGGCACAACCGGCGAUCAAGGGCCACACGUGCUACGUGAGUAGUCGGUUUAAUUACAGCCAUGGCGGAGAGUAAUACGCGUGCGGCAACUUGACCAACCAGAUUGACACCGUAUAUCCAAUCAUUCUUCCUUGUUGAAGGUCUCCAACAGCAACAAUGGCCCUUGCAUGCUCGGAUAGUCCUACAAGUAAGCAAACCAACGGUACAACUCCCGUCCCCUGCUGAACAGCGGCAGAUUACCAAGUAUUCAACCCCCGGGUUACUUUGCUCUCGUCUUUCCCCCACGCAACUUACAGCCAUGGCAUCCCGCUCCAAACGCAACCAGCCGACCUCCCAACCACCUUUCUUAAUCCCGCCCUUCCAGCGAAACUCCAACUCAUGAGAUUCUUCCCAUCCCUCCCCGCUUUCCUGGCCCUCCUCUCUCCACCCUCGCCACUAGGCCAACUCAUCCCCGCUGCUCAGUGCUUCCCAAUCCUCCACCGCGACUGGGAUCCCCCGCUUCCCGCCCGCCGGCCCGAACCUCUUCCUCCCACCCAGCGCAACGUUCCGCCCCGAUACGCUCCAGCGCCGCCACUGCAUCCGCGUCCGAAGCCGCGUCCCACAACGCAUCUGCCAUGGCGCCGUGUGCAUCGGGGUGUUCACACCGCAAGAGACGUUCUGCCCAAGACAGCCCCUCAGGUCCACCUGUCUCACCGAUCCGGGGGUCAGUAAGGUCCUGGCGAGUGAGGAUGAGCGGGUGCUCGCGGCUCUGAGCGCCAUACACGGCCUCCGGCAACGGGCGAUAGCUGCAAACGGGAGCGGGACGGGGACCGAACAAUGGAAGCACGCGAGGACGACCCUUACGAAUACUGCAUGACAUGUUAGCUGCAUCUCGCUGCGAACAGCACGCGGAAAGCAAAAGACGAUGGUAGCGAUGAUGGUAGCGAUGAUAACGGAUAACGAAUCUCAAGGGACGUUUUACAGAGACCCGCGAGACUGCAGAAUGAGCACAACGCCCCAAAAGCACAUCGAGUACAUAAACCUUCGAAGUCACCCCUACUACCCCACCCUUCGAAACAGGGCCUGAAGACAAAACCAACGUACCGGGUUAGGAAAUCGAAGUGCCAGGGGAAGAAGUACCAAGCCUUGCGACGACCGCGCUCAUCGUCACCAAAAUGCUCCUUCAUGUAGGACACCAGAAGCCGAUACACACCCACGCGCUCCGAAGUCGUCAAUAGCAGUUCACGGCCCUAAGAUAACACAGCACCAACACAAAACACGGCAUUACGGUUAACAGAGAGUCAGCAAAGGAAUAUGGACAUUGAUUAUCUAAGGACAUAGCACAGCUCCUAGCCUCGCUCCGCACCUCUUUGAAUUCCAGGAACAGCCAAGGCUUAAUGAGCGCUCCCCGCCCCGCCAUGACCGCCGCACAUCCCGACUCCUCAAGACGUGCGCGAGCCUCGUAGUGGGUCAGAAUGUCGCCAUUCCCGAUGAUGGGCACCGAAGAAGAUCGAGCCAGCUCUCCUACACGGCCCCAGUCUGCGGCCUUCUUGUACCUUCGGCAUGUACACGGAGGAGAUCGCAAUUGCAAAGCCGGCAGCAUAUAUCAGGAUAAUGACAAAUUGACAACUAGAGAGAUGACAGUUGAGAUGGUGUACGGUUACGGGCAAAAUGUACGCAGUCUUCAGGAAAAGUCGAUGUGCUGAAGAAAAGGGGCGAUAAAUAAAAAGGACAAGCGGACUGUAUGUGAUGUGUGUGUAUAUGUCUCUUAAGGAAUGAUGGUGAGCGGAAACUAUAAGUCAUUUGUACGACCGUCCAUAACAGGCUAAAACAGCAAAAGGGAACAAAGGCUACACAUCAGGCCUAACGAGAACCCUCAGCGCAAUAUCUUCUCGAUGUACACCCCCUAGAAGGAAGACUCGGUUAUGGACAUCAGCUUUGGAAUUGUCGGCUAAAGAUGUGUAGCCGAAGGGGAAUCCAAAAAGCAUCAUCAGCUGUCCUCGUUCGAGUAUCAGCGAGACUAACCCACAAACAAGAACACAUAAAUCACGGAGAAAGUCUUCGUACACGCCUGACUCCUUUCCAAAUACGCACACGCCUCGCCGUCACGUGGCCACGACAAUUCAUUUGAAAAGACACACACACGCAUGUACAUAUAUACCCCCCCGCAUGCGCCACUGCAGCCGUCAGAAGGUGGAAGUGUCGGUCACCGUCCCCCACAGCGGUUCGAAACAGCCGCAGGGACUGCCGAAGGGGAAUCCCAACGGUUUCAUCAUCCGGCCGAAAUGGGCUGUGACAAACGGAACCUAAAAGGCCCUCGGGCCCCAAAUCGGACAAAGAGCUGCGUGUCACUCUUGCCGUCUUGUCCUCAGGACACGUCGGCCAUUGCCACAGGGCACGACACAGCACAUCAACAAACCUACACAUUCGCCAAUCAAAAUGUGCAACAAGCCAUGAGUUGACGUUGCUUUCUUCUACCUGGCACCACAGUCUUUACAUACAGACUUGAAUCCAAAGAGAAUGAUGUUUUCCGUCAUUACCGCCACCCACAACCACACGCACCUCUGUUCCGCUGUCCGGCCGUGCACUGUCACCGCCGCAGCCCCAGCUCGUUCCAGGAAACGCACCACCGAGUCCACGUUGAUCUUCUUGUCGUUCUCUCCCAGGCGAACCUGCGUCGCCAGCAAAUUGCGGGAAGGCAUGCCCACCUUAACAAACUAUCGACGGAGGAUAGGCGGAGUGAAUGAAGACGGGAAAAAAGAGCAAAACAAGGCAACGAUGCAGAGGUCAACGAUCCUGGGCGUUGGGGCAAUGAUAAGAACCAAGAACCCAGCAGCAACUUCUCCAUUACGACAUUCCUCAAGCUAUACCACCUUCCAUAUCUCCCUCCCUACACAUAAUUGCCCGCGCCACGCACGGAGCUGUGCUUGAUCGUGGUGUUGUGGCGGACAGGGGCAUGCGCUAACAUAGCUACAUACAAGGACCGAGGACUAGGACAGCAGGGGAGGUUGUAUGAGCAUAAUUCCAGUAGGAUUGCCCAGUCAGCACACAGGGGAGCCAGGGGACCACAAAUCAUCGCAAAUGUGCCAAUAAGGACAUCUAGCAAGCACAAGGUUUCUCCCAAAAACUUCCUCCUCUACACGUUGCCCCGGUAGUAAAUGCGCUCUCACCUUGACAGUCACAGGCAGCUCCGACUCCGCGGCGAUGCCGGCCACCAUCUUGGCGAGUGCACGCGGCUUUCGGAGCAUGGCGGAGCCCAUCCCACGGCGCGUCGCCUCUGAUGCCGGGAGUAGCGUACAGGGGGAAUUAUGGCACAACGAACCUUAGUACCGGGACAUUCAGCUGUUCAACGUCGCAGAUCGGGCUAUCUAGUUUCCCCCGCGGCGCCUCUUCAUCGCUACAAGAAAUCCCAAUUCCCAAUUCCUUGCACAUUUGGCAACCGCAUUUGAGCCGAUGACGAGGAGUGAUGUGGAGCACGGAGCCAUUCUACCUAACCUGAUCUGGGUGCCACACAUUCCAACCCAACCAAAAGCAGACACCAGCUCAGCCGCCCAUGUUCUCACCCAAACAGACAACCCCAGCACCCACCCACACAGCCAACAUCCAUGAAAUAGCCAAAUUCCACACUUGUUACCCCGCUCAGCUAUCCUCAGCGAAUCACCGUCGCUCACAAACACAAACAAGCAACUCACCGUGGAUCGGGCAGCCGCAAUUGAUGUCCAGGAACUGCGCCCCUGCCUGAGGGCCGCCGAAUGAAACAUGAACGCGUCGCGAGAAAGAAGGAAACAGGCAAAGUCAUAAGAAGGCUUACUUGGUCACAAGCACAGGGGAACCCCAGAUAAGAUGCGUGCGGAAGCUGAACCAGGAGAAAGUAAUGCGGGUGAAGAGGGUGGCCAAGGAUUGCGUUGAUUUGGAGGUUUGCUGAUGAGGGGGGUUAGUGAACCGCAGUGUAGUCCGCCGUUACCAUCCAGACCAUGCCGCCGUUGCUCACCUCCUUGGCGAGCUUUGAGGCAGCGAUGCCAUCCGCGAUCGUCUUGCACGCGACUUGGAAGCCGAACAUAGACUCUCCAGGCGCCUUAUAAAGGCGAGCGCGCUCGACUCUGUCGCCUCAACCCAUGCGAGGAAGCUACAGGGCCAGGGUUAGCAAAAAGACGAUUAUGUUGCGUCGAUGUAAGACUAUGCAAGGUAGCAUACCUUUCAGUAAAGGUUUGCUGAAAGACAUCUCCGACAUCGUCACCUCACACCCAAAGUGUAAGCAAAGCCGCCGAAAUGGUACAUUCCCGCCCUAUGUAAACGCGUCGGCGCCGUCAGAAGCGAAUUGACCGCGAAUAAAUGCUCUGCUCGGUAUACCUUUGUAAGAGGAGCCAGCAGGAGCUUUCCACGAAGCUGUUGCGCAAAAGCCGCAUUUCGUGCCUUGACCCACUCAGGGGCCUCAUAGUCGAAAUCCGCUUGGCCGGAAGGCGAUGGCUCUGUAACAUUCACAUCCACUAAGGCAGUCUGGGAACCUUCACUACCUGCUUGUCGGCAGAAGCUCCUGCAACGCCGCACAGCUGCCCUUGUACAUGGCGGCUGCGGACAUAAGACAGACCCUGCCGUGCACCGAUAUGUAGCCAACAUUAUAUCAUAAAUGUCGACCUGCAUAAAGUACUCGCCAAGUACUGUGCAUCCCCAAUCGGGGCCUUUGGAUUUGGUCGUUUGUACGGUGAUCCAAACUUCUUUCCGACAGAACAAAGAUUCGGCUCCAGAUACACAGAGCAGCAAAAACCAAAAUAUAUAUAUUGUACUGAAACUACUUAUAGGCACAUACAGGUACAUAUGUCCAUCCCUUUCCGUUGUUCGAAUACGGCACAUCAGAGUGCCGUAUUCGUUUGGUAUGAACCAUGGUUCAAAAGAUGGGGGCCCUUGUGAAGCAGCUGCCCGCGUUUCCAAAGCACGUAUGGUGAUGUGGAAGGUGCGGAAGUACGUCGGUGAAAUAUAAUGUGGUAGGACUGGAGAGAAUAGUGUAGCAGUAUAAUGUAUUGUGAGUGUAGCUGAAGCUUUCAUCGUGGGCGCGUCUCGUUGCAAGCUANNNNNNNNNNNNNNNNNNNNNNNNNNNNNNNNNNNNNNNNNNNNNNNNNNNNNNNNNNNNNNNNNNNNNNNNNNNNNNNNNNNNNNNNNNNNNNNNNNNNNNNNNNNNNNNNNNNNNNNNNNNNNNNNNNNNNNNNNNNNNNNNNNNNNNNNNNNNNNNNNNNNNNNNNNGUUCUUAAACAGAAUUUGAGCUUGCUGCUGGCUCAAGUCCUUCCGUAGUUGCUGCAACACGGCUAACGCAGGCACGGCCGAAUGCGCUGCGAAAAGCUGUUCCAAGCCCUCAGCGGCAUCCAUUUUACUUGCAAGGUUCUGAACGACUUUCGCGAUUCUUCUCUUUACCUAAUUCUGCGUUGUUAUUAUUUAUUUCGUAAGAGUGUAACUUGAGUUUAGUGGGAACAAUGUGCAUUAUGCGCUGCGCUACCGAAAGCAGGCGCCUUAUGGCUGAUUCUUCGCCGACCGCUUCAUCUUCCGCGGCAGUUUCACGAGCCCAGUGUUGCAAGCUACGACGUAGGCUUUCGGUGCUUUCAGAUACUGCAAAGCAGCCACGCAAUAGUCCAGCCUGCAUGCCGGGUGCGACUAUGGCCAACAAGACCACCUGCGCAAUGCGCUGGCGCACCUUCAAGAAAUUUAUAUACACUUGUACAGGCGCAUUUUGUGAAUCGCACGCGCGCAUCUGCGCGGCAAAAUUCGCUCCUGGCUUUUUUGGGACGAUGUACGAACACUUUAUUGGCGAAGUACGACCGGACACAUUUGUGCGAGGGGCUGCUUAACCAGAGGUCGGCAAACCCUGAAUAACUGUCACGGGUACUGGUGCCAGGGUCGAAUAACUGUAUGGAAAUUUUUUUUGGUAAAAGCCGAGGAAAGAGUGUCUGCGGGCCGAUGUACCAAACUUACUACGUUACACCAUCGCUGUUAAAGCCACAGUUGUCUUGUUGCGCCCAAUUACUGCGCAAACCUGCCUUUGGGGGGGGGAUUCCUGCACCCUGCCGUACGGCUGCCGUACCAGCGAUGAUGAUUUUCUGCAACGGGUACAACGGAAGGACCCGCUGUACCAGCGGCGUUUGCCGACCCCUGGUUCAAACCUGCGACCCAAAAGGAUUUUCCCGUCGAGCCGUACAAAACUAACGCGCUCCAUCCCUUCCAGCUGGCUAUCGCCCUCGUGCGUUUGGAUCCUAACCACUUCUCACGGGCCGGACCUAUCUAGGCAGGGUCUCCCGGUCGGAACUACAGGUGCAGGGCAAGGAGCAACUCUGGUUGCCUGCUUCCGUCCGGGACGCGGUACGGCGCGCGUCUUGGUGCGUCUUGGGCUUUACCUGGACUGUAGAUAAGAGAAACGGUCCGUAGGACGGUCAAAGGUAAUGAGUGCAAGGCUAUUAGCUUAUGUCUGGUGGAACAUAACCUUCUGUUGUGGAAAAGUGUCAGUUCCAGUUACGUCAAGUCAGCCAUCUUACGAACUGGUUUUGAAAGAAGUCGUACGAUCUGAACUGAUCUGAACGACUUGUCCGUUAAUGUCUCCCUAAAGCUCCUGCUCAGAGCUGUGUUGGUUAUCCACCUACUUAAGUGUAAGAAAUCGUGCUCAGGUUGCUUUCUCUGAACGUGUAUUACGCAACGGCACCGGGAUUCAUACAAAACGUUCCAGCUUCCACGGUAAACCUUUCAGACCAUAAGAAUCUUCACGGGUUCCACCUCCCUCACUCGCGCUCUCGUCACACCGACCGAACGAUUUAUUUCGCAAUAAAUGAGACAUGGACUAUCCGGUGUUUUGCCUACUACAACAAACACCAUCCCAGGUUACGAGUUCCGCACCUUUGUGCGGGGGUGUCCAUAAAAGCCGUUGUUGUUACAUUCGGUUCAAAGCCCCAGAGCCAUAUAGUUGUGCCCGGCCGCAGCCGCAGCCGCAUCUAGCCCGGCCCUUACGAUACGCACACAGAGCCUACACGUACAAUCGCACGCUCAUCUCUUCAUACCUUUUCGGCAUUGGUACACUUUACUAAUACCUUUCUCGGCCUCGGCGUACACUUUGCACCACAAACCGUGUGCAUGCAGUGGUAUAGCUUGCAAAUAUACAAACAUAUCCUACCAGGCAGUACUGUUAGCAAACAAAGUCUUGCGAUACAUCAGUUCCCAUAUCUUGUACAGCUAAAUGCCCUUGUAUUAGCACAAUGCCUCCCCCUUCCGUCCAUCCGGCCCAGAACACGUUUUGGGACAUUUUCUUGUCGCACGUGACAUCGCCACACAACACCAUGACAAAAAGUUGCCGCGCACCGCUUUUGCCGCUGUAAUCUUUACAGCAACUGCCUAACCAUUACAUGUUCACAAGUUAUUAAAAAAGGUUUUAGUAACCACUACCCAGCCAACCAGCAGGGCUUCCCAGCAUCACUUCUGGCUGACAGCAUAACAGCAUACCUAGUCCGCCCUACUCUCCCUACAUAUCCUCCCAUCCCACAGACACAGCACCAGCAGCAAAUCAGCAACAAUAGCAGUAACAGCAGGCUGCAGUAGCGGUAGUAGCAGCGGCGGCUCACCUCUCGGAACACCUCACGAAGUGAUCUGGAAUGGCGGGAUCGGGGAGCUUACCCUAAAACCCGACAAAGCCCUCACGGCUUGAUCAGCGAGCGGUGCAUGUGUACAUGCACCCAGCGCCCAUCCCCCUUCUUCUCCCACACACGGGUCUCCUCCGCCUGCACCGUCACGGGCGCGCCGCCCACCAGCUUCUGGGUCAGACGGAUGUACGACACCACCGCGCACGUGUCGCCGAUAACGCGUACCUGCGGGAAGGGUGAUGUUCAAUGUGCGGUGUUUCAAAAGGUCUUGGACAGCUGUGACUGUGAUAGGGUUAGUUCGUCGAAGGGCAGUAAGGUCAAACUGAUUGCGGGUAUGCUACACCAAGUAGACGGACAGGAAGGCAAAAUGCUAGAUAGCGAUUAAGCCGGAAUAAGGAGAUCACAAGGCGAUUUGCGGCGGCGGUGCUGAUGAUCCUUUGAUGUCAAACUGAUCUGCCAGAGUUCCAUAAAUUACUGUAUGUAUGUAUGUAUGCCGCGGCCUCAUGGCAUCCAUGUGCACGACAUGAUUGGUGGAAAACCGUUGCAGGGCGACCUAUGUUACAAACCGAUGCCACAUAUCGUGCGUGCAUAUAUGUAUGUAACAUCUCAUAACGAAACGGGCAUGCAGGCAUGCAGGGCGCGAAGGUCGCACUUACGUGUGGGGAGGCCAUGGUGUUGAGCACGUGGGGCUUGGGCACGUCUGUGGCGGGCGCGGCGGCGGGACUUGGCAUUGUGAAGUAAUACUUGUGGAAGUCCAGACCCUCCACCAGGUGCCCCACAGCCUCGGGCUCGAAGCAGGUGAGGCUGGGGUCGCAGAGGGCCUGUGUGCGGGUGGCGUAGUAACAAGCGGCGAUGAAGCGGCGAUGAGGGGGAGGCGGAGGGUGGAAACACAAAUACGGGUGCUUCCAUGCAAGGAACGGAUCCUCGCGGAGAUGAGCAGUAACGAUUGGAGGACGGGUGGAAGGAAGGAAUAACUCUAGGGAUGGCGGAUGGCUGUUAAUAAAUGAUUUGGGAGGCGGAGGGAGGUCGAGCGACGGGGGAGAAAGGACAUAAGAAUGUACCAAGGGCAUUCAUGGUUAGUUAUGUUGUGUCUGGAGACACGUAACCAUGGCAUAGGAGGAGGAGCGGUUUAGACGAGAGUGCGGGUGGAACAGUAUGAAAGAGUGAGGAUUACGGCAAUAAGCGACGAUGUGUAAUGUUUUGAAGGGAGGCACGGCUGUCAGGCAGGCAGGCAGGAAGCACGGUGCUGGUGUUCCUGCCAAGGGACUUAGGAUGGCGGGCCACGCAGGCAAAGGGCUCUGGGCCGGUGGAACAGUCGGCUCGGAAAUGCGCAGGACGUUGGGGACUCGCGGCCUUGGGGGUUAGCAGGCGGGGACGCUCUUUACCCCAAGAAGGAUUCAUGGGAGGCACGAACCAGCUUUGGUAAGCGUACAAGCCAUCUCUUUGAGAGCUAUUUCGAAGUAGAAAAAUUCCCACCCAUUCUCCUUUUAGCAGCUCAUAUAGCCUAGAUCCGCAGGUUUUUAAGCUGCCAGGCCAGGCCAGGGCUUGCAAACCCAAAGCACAACGGCCGAUCAUCCCGUCCGCACCUCAUAUGUCGCAUAGUCCCCAGCACCAAUUGCUGAGAGUAAUUUCUGGUUCAACUCCAGGACCUCUUGUGCGGCCAUCCUAUCAGUGCUGCGUUGUGCCCACCUUGAAGGUAAAGAUGCAGUUCGAACCCGGACCGGGUUGCGUGAAAGGGUGAUUGACUUUGAAUUAACUACGAUUCUGUUAAUCUGCAUUAUACGCAAUAGAGUAACUGAUUCCCCAAUACGUUGGCCGGAAGGUUGUGAAUGCACGACAUUAGGUGUAUGGAGCACGGUGCACGACGUAAGUUCAAUUUAGUUAAGCGAUCCUUCAAACGGAUACAGCAGCUGCUAAUUAUUUGUUACAGGGUUACGGAACAGCGUUAGGGCGUCGUCCCCUUAGUUGAGGUCUUCUAUGAAGAGCACACAAUCCCUGCUUUCCAAGCUGCAGGCGCCCGUGAAGGGCUGCCUGCAGCAGGGAUUAAUGGAAGGUUUGCGUUCCUUUUCUGCUCGCGCUCUGGGCUCACAGACUGAAGUAGGCUUAAGCAUCCUUGCAGAGGCUGCGAACUUGCCGAGCACGAGCAACACAGCUGGUGUUCAACUGCAGCAAACCCGUGGAAUGGGCUACGCUUACGCGCGAAAGACCGCGGACAAGGACUAUGUACACACGGCGCACACGCUGGCUUUCGGACAAACGCAGCUUACAGACUACAUCAUUAAGACUGUGCCAAAGUUUGUAAAAAUGGCUGUCGUUGGCCCAGGACAGAGCACCUUGCUGUACCAAGAGCCAACCAUAUACACGACGCCCGACAGCCUGCUGCCUCUCAUGACUUUUCUCCGCGACCAUGUCCAAACCCAGUUUAAGUGUCUAAUCGACAUUACCGCUGUCGACUUUCCGGAGCGCGCUGCGCGCUUUGAGGUCGUGUACCACCUACUCAGCCCACGGUGGAACAAUCGCAUCCGCGUCAAGGUGUGCGUGGACGAAGUCACACCGGUACCAUCCAUCUGGAAGAUCUUCAAUACGGCAAACUGGUUUGAGCGGGAGACUUGGGACAUGUUUGGCGUUUUCUUCUCGGGCCAUCCCGACCUCCGCCGUAUCCUGUCUGACUACGGCUUCACCGGCCACCCGCUGCGCAAGGACUUCCCCCUCAGUGGCUACACUGAGGUGCGGUACGACUACGGGAAGAAGCGCGUAGUUUCGGAGCCGCUGGAGCUGACACAGGAGUUCAGGUUGGUCCUGGGAUUUCGGAAGCCGCUGUGACACCCUGUGACUAGGGUAACUGAAAAAAGGAAGAUUGAUUGGCGCUUCAAGCUGCCCGGUGGCCUAGUAGACCGUAUCGAAGAGUUCCGCGGGCUGGCUCGCAUUGUGUGCGUCCUUGUGCUGUUGCCCUUGUGCACGAGCCUCCGGGGUGAUCCACAACAUGUAAGUGAAGCUGGAUCCUAACCCAGAUCAGGCCAUCAGAGGAUUAGCUGCAUUCGAUGGCGAUAGCACUCUUCGCAUGCCAUGCCCAUUUCCCACCCGUCUUCUUCUCUCCCACUCCUUCGCUCUCUCGCAGGUAUUUUGACUUCAACAGCCCGUGGGAAACUCUGAACCGUUGAGGUUGUAUCAUGCAUUCCCUGAACAACCCGCGCCUGUCUGUUCAGAGCCGCGUGGGUGGCCUGCCCCUUCCGUCCCUGGGAGGCUCACCAGCAACAGUAACAGUAACAGCAGCUGCAGCUCCUGCUCAUUCAGCCCUAAUGGUUCUAAUGCUGCAUCAAGGAUGUGUGGAAGGGUUAAGCUGGAAAGUGAUGUGGGCUUUGGCACGUGCUAGCAGCAGCAGCAGCGGCGGCGGGGCUGCGCCCUGUGUUUCUGAGGGUAGCGUGUCGGUACAGAGGGAAGCCCCCGACAAGUGCAUGGGGGGACGCUUCCCUGCAUUCUUAUCAUGCCAGAAAGGUGUACGGUGGGAAGAAAAAUACGUGAGGGCAGAAAUUCCAUUCAGAUCAGGACGCGGUCCGGAAUGCUGUCCUUUACUUUGUGUACGGAUACUUGCGUGGUUAGGACACUCCCCAGCUGGCAACGAUGGAGGCUGUACCACCGAGGGAGUUGACCAGGGGACACAGGUCGUGCGGCGGUAUUCCGCGGGCACUAAUGGAUUAUCUCUGGUGAUGAAGUAGGCGGCCGUGGCGGCAGCGGCAACAGUCCUGCAGCAGCAGCGACGUCAGUUUCUCGAGGCGACCGCUGCAGCGGGAGGUCCAGGUCAUCACUACCGUUUGUGCGAACGGGAUUGCUUGCUUGUUGGCGACGUCGUGGCACCUGUUGAUGCUGCCUCGUCCGGAGGGUACGGUGGCCCGGCCUGGGACCCUAUAGCUGUUGCUGCAGGGUAACUGCCUGAAUGACGAUAUUGACUGUGUAUGUGGACGAGGGUUUCCAUGUCCAGUCUCCGAGUAGUUGUUGCGGGCGCUGCUGAACCGCAGGCGUGUCCUUGCGUUUGUAUGAAAAUAAGCACAUAUUGUAUGUGUGUGGAUCAAAGGAUAACGGUCUCAGCUUAACAAUCUAGGCCAGUCGGUGUGUGUAAGUCUUGGAGUGCUUUAAAUAUUUGAGCUGGUGUGUGUGCAUCUGUCGGCCCUAUGUCGCUGCGCAGCGGCUCGUUUUCGGGCCGCAAAGCUUGGCGGUUGCGUUUAUGGCUAGCAAGUGGAAAAUCCGAGUGCUUCGGCCGCCUGAAAUUCUCUUCCGUCUUGCCGUUGCUUCGGGGUGGGCUUGGCGGCUUUAUUUUUGUGGAGGGUUAGAUAGCUCGUCUCGCCAACACGACCGCCGUCAUAGUUUCCCUCGCGAACCUCUUUGUGUGAACAUUGGUUGUUUGUGUAAAGAGCUGAGCAAAGCAAGUUUCCGGGCAAUAAUGUUUCUCGCCUUACAACCUAAAUCCAUAUGAUGAUACCAAAGGGCGGUAACUACGUUGUGCGGUUGAGAUGUGAAGAGGUUUGUGGCCGAGGGACCCGGACAUUUGCUUCAUAUACUACGUAUGGCAUGCUACAGAGUAUUCAUUAGCGGUAGUAUUACUGGUUGGGGCAUGACCUAUACAAACAGAGAUUGUGCUGACAUAAUUUGGUUUCGGCGCGCACUGCAAGGCGCACUAACGAACCCCCAGAAAUCUACAUCGAGAACAAGUUGACAUCUUGAGGGACACAAUAUGCAGAUCAGGGUUCUUUUGCCGUUCAGUAUGAAAGGAAAUGUUACCAAGUGAUCGAUAGCACUUUAACGCUCACGUAGCGGCGACCGCCGAUUCGCAUCUGUCACAUAUCAUCACAAGAUGAAGGAGAUUGAAGUGGAAAAGAUUGUGCUUGACUGCACAGCGCAGGUGCGAGCUCUUGGAUGGACGACAAAAGACAUUUUCGCAUAUUAUAUAUUUCUGAGCGGAAUUCUGCAUGGGCACACCUAUGCUUCGCGGGUUGUAAACUCAUUUUUUUCCAGCAUGAACUCUUAGCUCGCUCGUCAACAACUACACCCGCGGGCCCCAGCGCCCACCGGCACUCGUUCUCCCUCGCGCGCCCCAGAGAGCUUUGGCCGUUUCCGAAGUCCCUCACCGCAUACGUGCACACACUUCACAACCUUUCCUCCCUUCGCCUUGGACUCGGAGUCGGCCCCGAAAUACCGCUCCAGUACUCCUCUACAUCGCGCCCAACCCUUCACCCGCGGCAGCCCCCUCAACCGUUCCUUACCAACACCAACACCAACACCAGCACCAACCUCCUACCCCAAAUGGGCCCCCUUAGCCAAUGCCGACCGACUAUGGGUUGUCCCUCACCCGCAGAGAACUGCUGCAAAGAACUGCCGCCACCUUGUUAUGUGAACCCCCCCACUGGGCUUGCAGUUGCGUACCUUUCUAUUGACAUCGCCGGCACCACAAAACCCACAUCCCGCCGACUCCCGCCCCCUGGGGGGACUUUUCACCCCCACAGCCUACAGCGGCACACUCUUGCCUGGCACGACCCCCGCGUGUACCGAUGUCCACUCCCAAACCCUCCCUGUACCCACCCCCGCAUCCAGCAUCCAAUGUGUAAUGAACCGCACAUACAUACGUACACACAUCCCUUGUUCACUCAACCUACAGCACCCUUCAGACCGCACUCCGUACUCUCGACCCCCAUCCUCGACCCCAUCCUCAACCCCGUCCACACCCCCAGCCCUCAACCUCAACCUUCAACCUCAACCCUCAACCCUCAACCCACCGGCCCCACCUACCGCCCCCUCCCGCAGCUCUACUUCGACGCCCUCUACGCCGGCGAUGCGGCCAUACGGACCUUCCAUGCGGAGGUCAACGGGGACCCCGCCGCGCUGGUGGGCCGCUGGAGCGAGGCGGGCGUGCGGACGGUGCAGUUCGUGAUGCCCAUGAACGUGCCCGCCAUGCUGAAGAAGUUCAUUGGUAAGGGAGAUUACGGAUGGGUCGUGGUGAGCGAAAUGGUGAAGGUGGUGGUGGCGAUGCUGUGAGGUGGUGUUUGUGGGUGCUGGAGCGGGCAGUAGGAUGAAGGGGUGCGGAUGUGUGACAAAAUAGUGACGGAGUGAUAUGCAGGGCAUAUAUAUGUGUAUGUUUGUAUGUGUGUCUAUUGGACCCCGUACACUACUUCAUAUCUCCUCAUCCAGUAGGGCGAGUCCGUUUAGAUUGUUCUUACCCUUCCCCCUUGAACUUCCCGAUCAACCCCCGAACCCCUCCGACACGCAUACAUACAUACACACAUACGACAUACCCGCGUGCGCACGCAGGCAAGGACAGCGUGCCGGUGGUUGAGACUCAGCAGUUGGAGUGGUUGACUCCGGGAAAGGCCUUCAAGGUGGUUUCGGAACCGCAACUGAAUGUGAGAGGAAGACAGAGAUAAGGGGAGGUAACAUGCAGUGGGGCGAGGGGAAGCUGUCGGGGGGUCGGAGGGGGAAUCAGGGAUGUACGUCUGCAUGUGCCUCUGUACGUACGUACGUGCAAGUUACACGUUACAAGCUCCGCACAAGUGCGGGGUUGUCCGUAAAAGCCAGGGGGCCCAUGGCCGGUAAAUCGUUUUUAGUGCGGUUACGUGGUGGACCAUCAUCGUCCUCCCUCGUCCGCUUGAGCGCGAAGCGCCUUAGAGCAGCGUGCCGGGUCUCACAGACUUCCUAAAGGAACCUGGCUAGUGCCAGGGGCAAGUGUGUGUUUUUUUCGCACACAGCAUGGCAUCAUCGCAUUGGCAAGGACGGCCUCUACCUCGGCCUGCAUCCUGCUGGGCGGUAACUUCCUAACCCUGGGUAGGGGGAGAUCACGGAGAUUACCCGGCCGGGGGGGAACCCCCGGGGGCGGGAGGGUUGACCCGACAGUGGUGGCAGCGGGGGUUACGGGCGGGCUGGGGACAGGGAGGGAAGGUGGGAGCGGAGACCAAGGUGGGGCGAGAGGGAGAGGGAAGAAAAUUGAGCCCCAAAUGGAGUGGAGGGUGUAAACUGUCCUCAAUGCAGUGCUUAUCAGCCGCUAGCUGAUCGCCCACCGCACAAUGGCCAUAAUGCAGCUCUCGACACGACAUGUAGGGUGCGCAGGUUGCGUGCGGAGAACCCCGUAUACAUACACAGAUUAGUUGCUGGGGCAGUUUCCCGCUCAAGCCUCCCGGCCUGGGGUUAGGAGGGGGGUUAUGAGGGCGGGCGGUAGGUAGGAGGUAAGGAGCUUAGGGCUUAUAGCCCCUCAGGAUUCUGGUCGGAUUCCUUUUCCCUCGGUAAGGAAAGGCCCGUUUGCGCUCGACUUGAGUUCUUCCCAUUUCCGUCCCUCUCCCCGUCCCCCCCCCCCCUCCCCGUGAAUCUUCCUCGCCCCCGCACAACCCCCUUCGCACCGUUCUGCACCGUUCAGUUCCCCGGCGCCAACUCGUUCACCACCUCGGGCUUCCUGGAGGUUCGGAGCUUGCCGAAUGGAACAUGCCAGGUAUGCAGAGGGGAAAGUGGGAAGGAAGGGAAGAGAGAGAGGGGGAGGGGGAGGGGGAGAGGGAGAGGGAGGAGGAGAAGGAGGGGGAGGGGGAGGAGGAGAAGGAGGGGAAGCGUGAGAGGGCGGACAGAGGGGGGGGGAGGGAGGAGGAGAGGGUCUCUCCUCACCUCAGAGACUCAUCGUCGUCUUUUCCUUCACCGUCCCCCCGCCCUCCCACAACAACUCCUCGACACAACAACCCCCCAAACCUCCUCCAAUAUAACAACACCUGGAUCGCACUCAGUACGAAGUCCUCCGCAUUCGUACAUCCGUACAUCCUGGUGCCAUUCCGUCUCCGCAGGUGAAGGCGCUGGUACGGUGUUCCGCAGCCCUGCCCUGGCCCGUACAGGCUACGGUGGAGGGCCUUAUGGCCGCUGAGGCCGCACAAUCCAUUGGAACCUUCCUCGCUUUCUGUCAGCAGUUCUACGACAACUGGCGAGCAGAGCAGCUGCUACAGCCCGAGCGCCCAGCUGCUGCCGCCAGCGGUACCACCGCGGCAGCAGGCAUUGGUGGCGCCGGCAGUGGCGGCGAUGUGUUUUUCGAUGCAAUUGAAGACGAAUCGGAUUUGCGGAGCGUCGCCGGCGGCGAGGGGGAGAAGGGGGAGACGUCAGUUGUGCCGUACCAACCGCCACGGUUGGAGGACAUUAUCGUGGACUGUCUACGGCAGAUCCAGUCGUCCAGUGCGGAGACUGCUCGUUCACUCCGAAACCUGGAGGAGCUGCUCCGAAACAUGGACGAGAACAUGCAGGUGAUGAGAACCAGAGUGUUUGCGUUGCGAUUGGUGAAUUGGUUGCGUGGUUGGGUUGAGGGUUUGGGGCAUAAUAGAGUGUGUAUGGUGAUAGUGGCUUGCGUUUUUUUGAAUGGGGAGGUGCGUGUCGUAUGGAAUAGGAGUACGUCGGCAUGGUUGGUUGUUGGUUAUGGGUUGUUGGUUGUCUUCCAAUCACUAUUUUACUGUCGUCGUCACCGUCAGCUGAAGCCCAUCCUGGUCAUGAUAUCGCCAUCAUCGCCAUCAUUUCACUCCCACUCGCCUCUUUUGCGGUGACCCCGUAGAGAUGUUUUGAAAUCCCUCCUCUGUCCGUUUGGUUCCCUCUCCUCAGCCACCUACAUGUUACAUACUCCUUGCGAAACACGAUCAUGUACAGACAGAGACAGACAGAGACAGACAGAGACAGACAGACAGACAGACGCACCUCUUUCCUCAACACGCAGGUGGUCCGGGACAAACUGGCGGGAAGGGGACCACACAACCGUGGAGCAGGGCCAGGGGGAGGGGGAGGGGGAGGGGGCCGCACUGCCACCAACACAGCACGACCGGCCGCGGGUAGUGGCAGUGCCGCCUUGCCGUCGUCGUACAUUGGGUUUCUCGCCACCGCGUCGCUGUUAUGCGGCGCAGGCGCGUUUGUGUAUGUACGAUAUCGGUUCGGGACGGGCGGAGGAGGAGGAGGCGGGGGAAAGUAAGUUUGGAGGGGCCUCAUUCAGUGGAAGGGGGGGGCACACAUCGUUGCGGAAGACGGAGGGCUGGUGCCGUAUCUGGACGUCAGGGGUAUUGCUACCGUGUGAUGCAAGUUGGGGUUGCGGGGGGCCGUGUUGGGGGUGAUGUAUUCCUGGGGCCAUCAUGCAGAAAACUUCUUUGGCCUCCUCUGUCUUUUCGUUUGAGAGCUCCAUUUCUUUUCCCAAGAGGUUUUGGAGGUGCCAUCUUCCACAUAACUUGCGUGGUGUCUCUUCCUUGAGGCGGCGUUCUCGGAUUCGAGGCGUGUGAGAGUGUGAGAGAGCAGUGCGACUGCGCGCGCGUGCAUUGUAGGAUUGGGGUUCUUAGGGUUUUACAUCGUGCUGUGCUGGGGGGAUGGUGCCGUACCUCCAUUCUCGAUAUAUCUGGAGUAGUACGCGAUUGGUCUUUAAGUUUAAUUUGUGUUUGAAUUUACGAGAGGGUAUUAUAUUUAGAUCCUCUGCAUAUCAUAUUCAUGUGCAUUGCGGCGGCCGCAUCAUUUGCUGUGUGCCCUGGGGGCGGUCACGGUGGCGGUGUCAGACACCAUUUCGCGUUGACGCGGUAUUGAGAAAAGCGAUUCUUGCCGCGGAGAGGUCGCGUGAAUGAAUUAGGUGUUUGUGUAAAACGUGGUGAAGGGAAAGAGGACAGAGGCGCCCCAGGAGGCGGGGGUGACUGAGGGCCUCGCUACGAAGGGGCGGCUAACGUAGACAACAAAACCCCUGUGUUUUUUGCCGUAUGGUGGCGCACGUAUACGCGCUGUCACUUUGAUGCUUUUAUGAGUGCCUGCGUGCAUCCUGAAUUUCUAUUAUGCUUUUUGUUGACCGAACCAGCUUGGAAAAUGUUUGCAGAUGUAUACAUGACGGUGGUGAUGGUGAUGAUGGUGGUGGUGGUGAUGGUGGUUGUUGUUUGGGUAUAUAAAUGGGCUAGAUAGAUAGAGAGGAGUUGCAGCCGAAUUUUAAGUUGUGGUCCGCUGUGAGGUCGUUAGGUUGGUCGUUAGGACGUCCAUCGGGGUUUGCAAAACGUUCCUCUCGAUGUAUAUGGGAGAUGCGUGUCUGCCAUCCCGCCGAGCCAGGAGGGGGCUGACCUAGCGGCUGCAUGGUGGCUUAACAGGCAGCGUGAGUGCAUAUGACUGUCCAUGACUUUCUCUCCGUGUGCUGCGAGGUUGUGGGCUGUUCUGCUAAUUAUAGGGUUCACGUCCUUUCGCAGCCGGAAGAACAUGACAGGGCGUGGCGGGGGGUAAGGAUUGGCCGCUGCCAUCCCUCCUUCGGGGUGGCGGCCGCUUCAGGACGUGUGGAGGUGAAGAUAGAUGUCUUUCCUCCGGCCGUAGGGGGCCCGUAGGGGGCCCCCUUGCGGAUCUGGAAAGUCAGUUCACUGCAGGUCAGCUGGCUGACAUUCUCUUGGCAAAGUUGUCCGAAAUGGGAAUGGGAGUGAGAAUGGGGCUCCAUACCGCCAUCACGGGAGGCAGCCAGACUGCAUGUGGCGUCGUAUUAUGCCUUGUGCGAAGCCUGGUUCGGCCAAAAGAAAGGUCCUCUAACCACCCUUGUCAACUUCAUGGCCCGCGAACCUGAUGCGAACUUGAUCCCCUUGUGUCCGCAUGUCUAAGUCUACACCUCGAAAGAGCCUGGGAGCCAAGGGGCCGUUUCCGGACACCUAUAGGGAUGCUGCUCACAAGGGGGGGGGGGCUCGUGGGCGACAGCUUGGAAGGGAGGGUUCACGCCACGCGCACACACGGCCCCAUAAGCGGGUGCCUUGCAUGCACAGACCAAAAACCGUUGUACCCGUGUUUGUUGUCGUCGGCAGCAUCAUUCACACACACGUGCACGUGCGGUUGUUUCAUGGCCUCUGGAUUCGUUCCCCAGCCUGGCCAGGGCAGUAGGUCCCGUCUGGAGUGGUUUCGUCGAAACUCAGAUCCUGGGGUGGCCCUAGCCACCCACAACAGCGUCCGCCACUUCAUUGUGCUCUGCCGGCGUCAAGCUCUUCCCUGUCACCAUGAUCAACUUCCGCAGUUUCAAUCCCUUGCCACCACUUCAUCGCGGAUUGCUUCUUUCGGUUAUAUUGCUCGCAUGCCAUCCUCGCCAUCUCACGUCUCAAUUAAUCAAAAGACAUAUACAUACGUGCAUGGCGCUACGUCUACACCACACACUAGUUUUACUUUCACCCGUUCCGGCGUCACAGCAAAACUGCAAAACCGUCAAAACGAAACCAGGAAUACGCGGACGUGUGUCAAUCACAGCUAGCCUGCAGUCGGUGGCCAGGCCGCCGUGUCCAGGAGUGUCUUCAAGAGGAGUCAAGUCAAACCUUGCCGCGGGUAAAUGUUUAUGCAUCUCCUCAUGGCUGUAUUACCAAGCAAUGCGUGAUCUGUCCCGCAACUUCUCAAUCCUACACUAGGUGUCACACGUUUCUGUCCUACUAGCUACUGGAGUGCGCCUAAGUCAUAGUCCUAUGUCUCCCUAGCACACCUCUUGCAUCCGUCGGAACACCUUACACACGUCUGCGGUUCGUUGUCCAUCACUGCACUGCGAUAAGGAGUUGUUUCGACCGUUGGCUGCAUCUUCGAGCCGAAUAAACACGUGGCAACAUCAGUGACAGCAUUGACAGCAGUAGUGGCGUUCUCGCGUUACAUAGGCACGCUGCCUCAAGGUAGGAAGGAUCACCCGCCAGCCAGCUUUUGAGGUGUUCGGAGCGAGAGCACAAAGACCCACAUUCAUCCUACUACACAAACAAGGAUAACCAUGUGUCCGAGCGAGAGUAAUAAGUUCCAAUUGUUUAUGUAUCCUCGACCCCUCCUUGUUUUCGUCAUUAUUUGCACCAGAGGACGGUACACAACCAUAGCCUUGUCAGAAUCCACGAAUACUCCUCUUCCCCCACCACCUCCCCUUCAUAGAUAUGACGUGUCUAUCUCUUCAUUCCCUGCUUGCCACACCGAACAAGUGCGCCCACAUGGUUCAUCCUUCCACCGCCUCAACCCCCAAACACCUGCGCAGCAAUCCAUCAAACGACUAACUGCUGCCCCCUGCAGGAGCCCCAAGCCAUACAUGACUCCGGACGGGCCACGCACUUGUGCACUUGUGCUGAGUGAGUCAGUGCGUGAGUCAGUGCUAACAAUCCCGAAUCCUGAUCGGAUAAUGAAUGAAUGUUUAUGCCAUUGAUGUGGACAAUGCGGUGCGGCCAACUUGCGCGUAAAAGUGGGAUGUUGCGGUGCGUGUUGAGGUGCGGAACACAAGCAACAACUAGCUCUCAUCUAUGCAAAAAUACAUGUUAGCGUUGGCAGUAAGUAAUUGUAUGCCGUCCAUCAAUUGGUUUUCGAGGUGUGACCUGCCUAGCCCCCACAUCACAUCACAUCCACUAUGGGCAAGGGGGCGCAUAUUCGCUGUGAUGCCACCGCUCGCUCGACCUCUCACAGCAGCAGACUUUAAAUUUGGAGGGGGGGUUGGCGCCCUGCCUUCAUUGGUGAUGCGGACACCACAACACCGCAACUACUCCACCAUCCAAUCACGUCUACCUAAUCAACCUGUCAUUCAACCCACGAGAGCAGUGUUGCAUCAUUAUUAUUUUUUAGGUCCUGCACCUAGCUAGUCACCUAAUGUGAUAUCCGCAUGGUUCCCCGGGAGCCUCCUGCUCAGUAGCCCUGCACUUGGGUGUAUGUGUUGUGCACGACGCAAUUGGCGCUCGCUGCACUUCUUCGUCUAGCGUCCUCCGUCUACCUUCCACGAAAUCAGGACCUUGCAUAGGAAGUAAGCUAAAAACAGGAAAGCUCCACCGCGUUCCCCGCACGCUCUGCUCCAGCUGUAUCCGGCCCGGUGCAGACUGUCUUUAGCCUCGCACCUGAGGCCGAGUAGCCAAUGCGCUGCAGCAUGUUUAACUAACCAAGCAAGCAAACCACCACUCCCAACAGGUGGUUGAGCGCAGUCGGCGUGUGCUCUACGCCCAUAGUACGCCGAUAUGCAAUGCUCUGCGCCUUCCGAACGCAGUGUGCGGUCGCUGUGGGGUGCGGCCGCCACCGCCGCCGCCACCGCCGAACGCCAACACACCGAUUAAGGUGAAGCUCGGGACCGCCGCCACCGCGGCCACCGCCGCUUCCUAGAUAGAGACCCCCCCUCUCCCCAAUCUCCCUCCACACAUGCUCACCCCUACCCAAAGGUCACUGCUUCUUCAGAUCCACCUUCUACUCACUACCCCCCACCUCCUCCUCCUCCUCCUCCGCGUCCACGUCGUCGUCAGUAACGAGGUCCAGGACCUCCCUGUCACCAACCCCCGUGGGUUCAUACCCACCCUGCUCCCCCGCGACCAGCGUGACCUCCACCACCGCCACCUCCUCCUCCAUGACAUCUACCUCGUCGUCGUCACCCCAUUCCUCCUCCUCCUGCUCCUCCUCCUCCUGCUCCUCUCCCUCCUCCUCCUCCUCCACCGCCACCUCCUCCUCGUCCACCUCCUCGGGGCCCGCCAGCCACAGCCCCUCACGGCUCUGCAGCGCCGCCUGUGCACACCGCACCACCACCCCUUGCUGCUCACCCUGCGGCUGGUCCGCGCCCGCGCCCGCACCUGCACCCCCCGCAGUACCGUUGGCCCACUUCCACGCCGCUUCCCAAGCGGGGUCGGGCACUCGAGCCACCCCGCCAGGCGGCACCAACCCACACAGCGCCAGCGCCAUGCAGCGCCCCAUCGCCUGAGCCACAGGCGGCGGCCAGCUGUUGCCGAUCUGCGGCGGCGACGGCGGGGGUGGAAGAGGGGGGUGUGUGGAGAGGGGAGGGAAGGGAACGCACGAAGGGACAGAUGUUAUUCAACAUCUGGACCAUUUGUUUAGAAUACAUAUAUGUGGGGGUUCCGGGUGCCCUGCCCUGCCCUGCCCUGCCCUGCCCUGCCCUGCCCUGCCCUGCCCUGCCCUGCCCUGCCCUGCCCUGCCCUGCCCUGCCCUGCCCUGCCCUGCCCUGCCCUGCCCUGCCCUGCCCUGCCCUGCCCUGCCCUGCCCUGCCCUGCCCUGCCCUGCCCUGCCCUGCCCUACCUGGGUAUACGCAUCCGCCGCCACCCGGCGCAGCAUGUACCAGGCCGUCUUGAGUCUAGCCGGCCAGUGCAGCCCGCCCAGAUCGCCAGCUUCACCACCACGCACACCGGCGGCCACCGCUGCGGAGGCAGCUGCUGAUCCUCCCGCCGCCGCCGCCGCCGCCAUCGCCGGCGCUCCUGCUGCCCCCCUUUCCGCUGCUGCAGGUGGCGCGACUGCAGGCGCCUGGUUCCCGUCCUUGCCCUGCAGUGCGGCCGGCCCUACGUGAAGCAGCCACUCCAGUCCCCGAAUGGCGGGCUUGACGAGGGCUUCGGAGCGGGAAACGAGGCCGCUGUGGUUUCGGAGGUGCCCCAGAAAGGGGGACUCGGUGGACAGGAACACCAUGUGGAGGCUGUAGCCCUGUAUGUAUGUACGUACAUAACCAUUGGUACCGCACGAUCACAUGGGGUGAGACGGGGUAAGAUACCCCACGUAGGGCGAAGGGAGCGCAGUAAGUACGACAUUACUCACCACGACGUGCAAAGCACCUAAGAGGUACUAAGAGGGUGCGACAAGGGAGGGGGUUCCACAGGACAUACAUACGGGCGACAUAUGGGAUACAGGACAUGGAAACGGCGGGACAGGGGUGGGUGCUCUUCAUGUGUGAAUAACAAAAAGCGUAUGUAUGUCAGCAGGCGUGUGGCGCGCGGCGACAAGCAGGAAAACCGCGAGGAAGGGGACCAAGGGGAACGCUGCCCGGAGGUGUCGGAGCCAAAACUGCCAAGGAUUCGACAAGGGGGCACGCGACGGCGGGCGCGGGGGACCUCAAAAGUGAGGGAAUGGAAUCAGGGGGGGAGGGGGAGGAUGUCAUAGGGGGGGGAAGACGAACCACACACGAUUGAAGCUGCUGCCAUGGGGGGGGGAAGAGGGGCAAGGGCAGCGGGAGGGAAGGGAGAAGAGCGCAGGGGUGAAUGAUAAGGCUGGGGACCAGGACAAGCUACCCCCCGCACCUGCACAUCCACAUCCACAUCCACACCACGCCAUCCACGCACGCACACGCACACACGCACACACGUCCAGGCCUCCCGCCCACCUGCACACAUGCCCGCUCCCGUGGUGUGAGCACGCGGUCCUGGUUCCAAUGCAAUAUCGAGUCCUUCACCGGCUUGAUCGAGCGGCUGCUGCCACAUACAGUGCCCAGCACCUGCAGCGGGUGCAGGCGGCCAAAGGGCUUCCCAGGGAAGCCGUAGCUGAGGGUGCCGUGGGGCUUGGCGGUGGAUCCGCUGCCGCCGCAGCUGCCGCUGCCGCCGCCACCGCCGCCGUUACCGCCGCUGCCACCGCCGCCGCUGCCGCCGCCGUUACCGCCGCUCCCACCGCCGCCGCUGCCGCCGCCGUUACCGCCGCUGCCACUGCCGCCGCUGCCGGCACCGCUACCGCCGCCAACGGUGUUUUUACCCAUCGCCGUGGCUUUCUUCGCGGCUUUCCUGUUCAGACUGUACGGUGGGGUUUGGGGGUCAGCAGCGGCGAUGGUUCAAGACGGGUGACAGGAUGUCACACACAGUGAUUUUUUUUCAUUUAGGGGGGAUCUCAAUUUAUUCCGACCUAAGAACAAAGUUGCUAGCGUCGCCGUAAUGUAUUCCUUAAGUGUGGGGUGCNNNNNNNNNNNNNNNNNNNNNNNNNNNNNNNNNNNNNNNNNNNNNNNNNNNNNNNNNNNNNNGUGGCUACGCCCCCCCCCAGACCCCCCCCGAUAAGUUACAACUCCCCUCAUAGACCAAGAGGCACGCACUGCGUUGGCGCGUUUUCGUUCAUGUGCGCACUCUUCAUGCACAUGCAUAGAUAGUUCUGGCACUGUUUGUGAACAAAAAGUAAAUCCGACAAAGCAAAGGCCCAAAGCAAGCAACCGCAUAGCAAAUCAAAGGCCGUCACCCGCCACUGCAAACCACAGCACACUUAAGGACUCUACCGGUUCAUCAUGUACCGGCCCCUGCUGCUGCUGUCCAGCCACUCCCUCAGUGCGUCACAGAACGGGAACGUGCCCAGGUCGAACAGGUCCUGGGUAAACAUCCGCACACACAAUGCUAGGUGCUCGUCCAGGCGGUUGCGGGUGGGGUCCUGCAAGUACCCCAUGGCCGAGAACCGCCACCCAUCCUCCACCGACCCUGGCACCAUCACUAACACCAGCUGGGCCAAAGCCGAAUACUCCGUUAAGCCGCCGGCGAGGACCGCACAGUUGCUGAUGGCCUGCCACACCCGUGCUGUGGGUGUGUCAUCGAGCAGCACCCGGUGCUCACCCGUUUUUGGCUGGAGGAAUGAAAAUGUACGGAUCGGCCUCAAUUCAUUCCUUUUUUCCAAAGGCCAAAAUGGCCUCUUUAUUCCUUAAAAGGAAUAUAUUACUUAAAAACAACACUGUUCACACAUCCCCAGCGGUGUACAUCAGUGCUUAGAUACAUCCAAAUAUGGAAAAAUCGAAAAGUCGCGAACGGCUUUCCUCCAUGCCUUUCUUCAAGCCUUCCUAAAAACCAUCACCAUCACCACCACCACCACCAAAAACACCGCGCCACACACAGCCCCUUCCCCUCAUACGUCCCUCUUGUACAGCUAGGUAGGUAUCCACCACCACUCACUCACUGGUAUGCCAGGUUGCCGGGGAGGAGGGGGGCGCCGCAGGGGAGCAGCGCCUGGGAGCCACCUGCCGCAGGGGCCGCCGCGUUGAGGUGUUUCGCAAGGUAGGUACAUACAUACAUGCAUACAAACCGAAUAUGCGCAUGUAAAAGGAAGGAGACGAGGGGAAAACCAAUCAAGGUGAGCGUUGACGCCGGUGAAGGGCAGUGAGGGGUGGUAGGUGCGGAUAGGAGCGGAAGCUGAGGAGCUAGCUAAGCGGGGCCCAACGGGUGGUAAGACGAAACAUAGACAAUUGCCGCGAAGAGGAAAACAUAGGCGGAUGCUCCAAGGCAAGACCAAUACCGUAGGAGGAGAACACGUAAGAUAGGCGGCGAGAGGGAACCCUUUGAAGGGGGCAUUCAGGUGCUAUGGAAGAAGCAAAGGAAUAGCUACUGCCGACCCGCACCCCCCAACCCCCCGACGACUCACCGGGGGCUCGCACGUCCCCCCAGCCGGGGCUAGCACCUGGCCGCUGCGGCACCUCCUUCACCCGCUCGUAGUCGUCAAGAUCCAGAGGGUACGGCAGGUGGUUGGCAACCAGGAUGGGUAACGGUGGCGCGGCCGCCGCUGCGGUGGCUACUGCGCAUCUGGUCAUCGUGCCCGCAGCAGUGGGCUGUAGGCUGCCGCCACUGCCACUGCCACUGCCACUGCCACUGCCACUGCCACUGCCACUGCCACUGCCACUGCCACUGCCACUGCCACUGCCACUGCCACUGCCACUGCCACUGCCACUGCCACUGCCACUGCCGGCCCCCAGCUGUUCCUCCCCCGCCCCCUCCCGCUCCUGCCCCUCCGCCUCCUCGUGGCCCUCCAACCUGGCUAGCUCCUUUUGCAGGCUUCGGAGACAUUGCGGCGCGUGUUUGAGAGACAGCUCCAGCGCCUCUCGGGCACUGUCCAGCACCUGGUGGGACGGUUGUUGGUUCGCGGUUAUUGGAUAGUUCGUUAGGUGCGGUUGGUUGGUUGAUUGGAAGCUCGCCAGCUAGCUGUGUCAUUGGGAACGACGGAGACCCUCUCCUACGUCCCGACCAGCCGACCAUUGUGGAUUAGGCGUGGGUUGGUUGCUGGGGGACGGGACGUAGGGGGGCAGGUUGGGCAGGUUGCUAACCGGAGCGAUCCUCCGAUUGAAAGGAUCACGCCCAGCCUUGCCUGAUAUAGUGCUACAGGAUACUUUACAUGUACGUGGUGCACAUGCAAACCUCCAACGACACACGCACACGCACACACUCAACUGCUGCUACAACUGGCAACAUCAUCGAUGUGGACCGUUGUGAGCAAAUACCCCCAUCCCUUAGGUCUGUGCAUCUGAUAAAAGCGUGUCAGGCCUCCCACCCACCCACCCAGUCAGUCAGUCAGCCUGCCCAGCCAGCGAGCCAGGUAUGGCAGCCAGCCGGUCACCUACCUCUCGGCCCACUUGCAGGUAGGACUGACGCCUGGGGCCUUUCGCUGGGAUCACGAGCUUGGGCAAAGGGCUUCCCACAAGAGGCUGCUGGGACUGCGGGCCCUGCUUGCCGUCCUGAGCAUCGUAUUGCAGUAAGCGGGGAAGGAGACAACAGCGGCGGAGUCACUGCCCCAGCGGCGGCGGCAACGAUGACUAUUGGUAACAGGGACUACCGUCCUCCCCCAGUGAAAACGUACGGCGGUUUGCGUACCAGUCAUGAUGACGAUGAUGUGCACAUCCACAGUAACAACAACGGCACUGGCAACCUAAGGCGGUGUAGAGGCUUCACGAGGUGGAGAAUGGUGGAGCGUCCAUUCAUGAUGAGAAUUAAAUGCGCCAACAACACGACAUAGCGCUAUCCCGGCCUGGGGCACCGAGCCCGGCCUCCAUGUACAUCAUCGUCAUGGCUGGUGUCUCAAUGAACUGAGCAGGACACCUGUACAUGUGUGUUGUUACAGGGUGGUACAGCUACACCAGCGGCCCCCUUUCCCGGGGCAGUCCCUGUUCUCCCAUGCUAGAGGGGCACCCUAAUCCGUCACCCCAUCCGACUUCAGAAUGUAUUCGUUGGGUUCGGCAGCUCACCACCAGCAUCAAACCAAAUCUAGCGGAUCAACAGCGCCUCAACUCAGUUCCUGGUCAGCUCGCAAGUUGAUAUUGUCACUUCCUACUGCGUCCAAAAGAUGGGUUCCCACCUCCCAUUUCAACACCUCUCACACAGCCGAGAGGCCGGCAGGCGGAUCUGAACCCGGACAAUCCGGGAGCAGAAGUCAGGCCUAUGCCAGUCGCCUGCCUUAUGUAUAUGUGUGUAUGUAUGUCCAUUUGGGCCCGUAAACAUUGAUACCAUUGAUGGACUCCCCCAUCCUCCAUCUGCGGAUGAAGACCCGGAGGCCAGUAUGGUAAUGAACGAGGGACGCGACGCCCGCGCCUGCGUGUUGUGGUGGUGAUGAUGAUGUGCUGAUGCCACCCGCCAGUUCCCGGAUGGCACCAACACGCCGCCGCCACACGACCCACCUCUCUGCCAGGCGGCCAGACAGCACUACCCCUCGUACCCCCCCUGUAAGCACCCCAUGCACCACCAAGUCCAACGCAUGCAUGCACACAAACAAACCCAUGCCAUUACUUACUUACGCAUGUAUAUAUGUAUGUAUGUAUGUAUGUACGUCCGCAGCAAAAUUCACGACAUCCAGGACCUACCUUGCCGGCGGGCAUCCUCCUGGCGGGAAUCAGGACGGCGAUGACGGCGCCCAGCCGCACCUGCAUUCACCCGCGGUUCACCAGUGCAGCAACACACGGGUUACGUACGCAGCAGUGAUGGUGGGUGCGUCCAAUACACGCGCCUGCAGCCCUGCCUCUGUCCAAUCACGGCACCCGGGUGGGCGGUAGUACGGGGCUACGGGCCCUCAACCAUCUCGCCCAUCAUCGUAGGCAUCAUCCAGCCUUUCAUCAUCCCCCACCCAGUGGGGCCAACGAGGGCAUUGUACACACACAUGUCCAAUAACAGAUCAUUCAUGAAUGCACGCACUUGAAACAAAAUUGUUGGCUGAGUAGAUGUGACGGAGCGAAGCGGUCGGAGCCUCUAAGUCUGGUUCUGUACGACUGCCGUACGAGCCGGAUUGCACUUUCAUUACCAUCCAGCGGUUUCCCCUGGAGAAGCUUCCAUUCUGCGCGCACUUCACUUCACUUCACUUCAUUUCACUUCACUACACUCCACUCCACUCCACUUCACUUCAUUCAGUAGAGCUUUCAGCUCAAGAGGUCAUUCGCCAAUUGCCCCCUCCCCCCUUCACUACCCUUCAUCCCCCGCCCUCCUCUCCCCCCCCCUUCCGCUCCCCUCCCCAAUCCUGCAGCGUAAUGACCAGUGGCCCCUCUUCCCUCCUCCUCCUCGGCAUGUACGGCACGUAAGUCACUCGGCAUGUACUAGCUCCUAACACCUCCAGAUCCAGGUCAGGGGAGACAGCAGAGCUCCCAACAGAAAAGCAGUUAGUAUUCCUCCGUCCGUUCUAAGGAGCUGUUGGUCGUGGUGGAUGCUACACAAACGACUGCCCUGCCCUGCCCGAGCCGGCCCGACACCGCCUGGUGUGGGUCGGCCGGUUCCCCACCAGAGACAUCAUUCUCUUAGCUAUUAGUCUACCAUGUUGUUAGCAUGUAGGUAGGCCCAUCCCGUGGCAAGGGUGGCCCCCUCACCUCCUUCUGGGCCCGACGUCGUGUAAGUACGGGCUGGAACCCCAAUGUACGUACAUACAGACGUACGUACGUGAUGAAGCCGCCGCUCAGGAGACGGAGGGCUCGUGGGAUGCACGUGUAGAGCGCCUUCUCAGCAACAAACAUGGCUUGCGUGUGAACAGUACUGUACGACAGUUACCCACCUGCACCUACUACACGGGCACUGCACCCGUUCAGCCCCGUACGGCACUCACCAAGGCCUCCUCAUCGACCUCCUGCUUGAACAGCUCGCCCUGGGCGGGGUCGGGUACGGCAUCCCCACCAGCAGUAGCGGCACCACCACCACCGCCUGCCUGGGCACCCACCACAGCGCGGCCACCGGAACCGCGCCCCCCACCUGCACCACCUCUAGCAGCCGCCGUCGCCUUCCCCGGCGAACCUUUGACGCCCGCCGCCUUUUCCGACGUCGCCGUAGGCUGUGCGGCGGCCGCCACCGCGGUCCGUUUCGCCUCCUGACGGCGCCGCCUGCUCCGCCGUUUCUUGACCGCGGCCUCCGCCAUGCGACACAACUGGGUGUGAACGUGCAGUACCGCGCACGGGAAGGCCAGUACCGCGGGUGCGGUGUUUCCUAAGUAGGCAGCGAACCGCAGCUCGGCGGGCGGUGUUCCCUCGGGGGGCGGCUGGGCCAGCACGUGCUGCAGCGGGUAGUCCAAACGGCUGUGGUGUAUGCCGGUGAUGGUGAUGGUGGCGGUGAUGGUGGCGGUGAUGGUGGCGGUAGGUGACGGAGUAGGUUGGUCGUGUCGGUAGCCGUGGCGGCAACCGUGGUGUUUCGGAGGACGAGUGGCGGUGGUAAAGGCGUAGGAGGUGGAGGUGGAGGUCGAGGUAGCAAUCAUGAUGGUCGCGUGUGGAGGGGGUUGUAUCGCCGUCGGGAGGAAGGGUGACAGGGUAGAGAGUGGGCCCAGAAGCGAGAGAGAGAAAUGGUGAGAUGGCGAGGGCACGGGCGGUGUGGGUAUCCAGGAUGAGGGUGAGGGUGAGGAUGAGGGGGGCCAUGGCCACAACGUAACGCGAGUGGGUCAUUAUCGAUGAGGGGGAGGAAGGGGAGGGGGAGGGGGAGGGGGAAAAGACGAACCACGAGCGACUGAAGCUGAUGCCAAGGAAAGACUGCUGCGGCAGAUGUAAAGAAAUCAUAACUAACCAGUCGGCGUUUUUGAUGCCAUGUCAUCCUUUUCAAUACACCAGAGAGCUAGCUACACGCGCAUACCCUCUCACACACAUACAUACGUACAAAUGUACUCAGACAUCACAUAAGAAAACAGCAUGAAAAUCAAACUAAAUGGUUAACGGAUAGUCGUGUCUUAAGAAAAAAACAAGAUAAUUCAGCUUUUUUUAGGAAUUGAUACAAAAAACAAAAAACAAUUAACAUAAAAAAAAUAAAAACCAAUUUCAACAAUCACAAAAAACGGUGAAAAACAACAAACAACUUAAGCCUUACUGGACGCAGGUCACGGGGGACAUGCUGUAGUUUCCGCGCUUCGCCAGGUUGGACAUGGCGUCGUCCAGAGUCUGUCGUACAUGAAGUCGUGCGGGCGAGGGCGGGCAGGGUAAGGCGAAAUGCACUUUGCAAUUUGCACUUUUCUGCGGCACUUACGCGGACGCACGUACGUGGAUGCAAAUCAAUCAAUUGUUGAGGUUCUGCACCCCGAUUGGGACCCUGAAAACUUCAACAAGCAUAUCGCCUACCCGCUAUUGAAGAUGUUUCAUCGUUCCCAGCACAUACAGCCGCUCUGCUAGGUAGGAGCCCUGCUAGGUAGGAGCCCUGCUAGGUAGGAGCCCUGCUAGGUAGGAGCCCUGCUAGGUAGGAGCCCUGCUAGGUAGGAGCCCUGCUAGGUAGGAGCCCUGCUAGGUAGGAGCACACACGCAGGACUGCCGCAAUGCAGCAAUGGUGUGUUUCACCGCCACCAUCAUUCGCAUGAAAGCCGUUCCCACAAGCACACAACUGCACUAGCCUUCUACACGCGACCCCCACAGCUACCCCACUACCUUGCUGGUGGGGUAGAUAGGAUCCGUUAGGGCGCACGCCAACCCACUGUCGUCGACUUGGCUGGUACCUAAACCAUGCCGCUACAUGCCUCCUACAUGCAUACACAGGCAACCCACCUGAUGUCAGUACCCCCCGGGUAACCCCCUCUGCUCCCUCCCCCCGGGGCAAACCCCCCCGGGGCGGGCCCCCCCCCCGAGCUACCUGACUGGGGUACAGCAGAGCGCCCUCCCCGGCCUUGGGAUAGCACCGCCGCAGCGCCCUGCGUGUAAUAUAAUGGCACAACACGGUGCACCGCCGAGUGCAGGGACGUUUUUGCCCAUCUAGGCGAUUGCCUUGGUUGCGUGUUGAUUUCGCUGCUGCUGCCAUGCUGGUGGUGGUGGUGGUGGUGCAAGGGUGGGUGGGAAAGACAUCCACUUGUCAUUACAGUCACGCAGGGAGCCCUUCCCCCGGAGAGUAAGACGCAGGGUGAGGGCAAGGGAUUGAGUGUAUGUGCACAGACGUACAUAUACAUCGCCCUGAAGCGGGCGAGGAAGGAGGAGGAUGACCUCCCGCGUACCCGCAUCAAUAUCAAUACAACGUCCAUGGCCCCCCCGCUUUUACGGACACACCCGCACUUGUGUGCGGAAUUGUAACUUACAUAUACAUACAGCACAGCAGCCCGACAUGCUGCACAGAGAGCCUACCUACCAGAGCCCCCUGGGGGUAAUCCGCCCUUCCAACUCAUAGCGGCUUUCAACAGGGGCGCACUCCCCACCCCCCACCACACUUCUCAUGCCAUGCAAGUCCCAACUAAGGGCUGACUCCCGCCAGCCUUCAGAUCCCUUCAGAUGGCCCUCAAACCGACCUCCACACCGGCCCUGUGGCGGACCUCACCCCACCUCACCUCAUAUGCCGCCGCAAUGACUUAGUCACCAACAAGCCAUCAGGCCCCACAGGCAGCUGCAGAGUCCGGUAGAACUCAGGACGCGGCACGGGCGGCAACGGGAGCCCUGAAGCGGCGGCUAUCAGGAAGAGACGCGGACGGAUCUGGGGGGGGCCCAAUAUCAUAAUCGUUGGGGCCGGCGGAGGGCGACGUAGGUGAGGUGAGUCCGAAAUGGACCGCUACGUUGCAUGCGUGGAGAGUCAGUCGAAACCUUGAACCCAACUAGGGUGGCGGGGGGAGGAUUGGUUAGGCCACCGGGUAGGUGGCGAGGACACGAAUAAUGCUAAGGGGUACAUGUAACAUAGAUAAGAGAGAUCCAAGAAGGUGGCAAAGGUAUCAAUAUCAGGUAGGCAGGGUCUGUGUACGCAACUUCACUUCACCGGCGGCAAUAUGAUGACGUUUUUAUGGUGUUUUGCUGCAUAUAUGUGCCCCUCUACCUGCUGGGUGCCGAACUGCGCUGCACACCCGCACGUCGGUUUUAUCAAUCAAUUCGCUGCGGUUUGGUGGGCUCAACAACAUACCUAAGAGGUGGAUAAGAGAAGGGGAACGAGCUGGAGAAAGAAAGAAAAGGUAAGGAAGAGCAGGUGAAGGUUGGAGCAGGAUGAACUGCGCCAGCAUGCUGCAUGCUGCGCUUAUGGACCCCUACCCUGCUGACACCUUCGCCACGACAGCCAUAACGCAUGCAGUACCAUAAACCAUCGAACAUGCACAGUUAACCACAGCUACAAUACACGCCUGCCGCCCAGCUACUGCUGACCCACCUGCGGCACUCCGUGAGCCGCUGCACGACCCGUUGUAUGUGAUGUGAUGUGGCCAUCACCGCAAGGUACACAGAACACACCGCAGUUGGUGCAAAUAGCACAUUGCCGAAAUCCGUGUAUGCCGUACGGUGCGCCCCGCAGCCCAAGCGCGUACCACAGGAGCCAAUUGAAGGAGCCGGAGAAGCGCCCGAGGGGGAGGAGGAGGAGGAGGAGGGCGUCCGGUAGCGACAACAGAACGGAGUUCAGGGAGGGCGGGUGUACGGUCAGGUCAGGUGCGCGCGCGUGGGAACCUAUAGGCCGCCGGCGCAGCGCGGGGGUAUUUAGCACAGCGGGGUUGACUGGAGACACAACCAUCAUCACCAAACAUACAAGCCAACCGCGGGGGCCGUAAGGCAUAAGACUAGGCCCCAUACUAGAACCCUAUCAGGUAUAUCUGCCCGGCAAUAAGCCUUUACAUCAUACAAACUGUAGCGAGACGACCUAAGCGACCUAAGCGACCCAAGACGCCUGAUCCAUGCCUGCCUCUGUCUCUGUCCAUGCCUGUCUCAUCCAACGCUGUCCGAUGCCUGAUCCAUGCGAGACAGUCACAGAUGCGUGAAUCAUUAACGCGCAGCACCCAGCUAGCCAGCUACACAAUGGUGUACUCUCGAGGUGGGUUGAUAUGGUCCUCACCACCCUGACUAAAGCAUGCAUGCAUGAAUGCUAUUUUGUCAGGCACCACUGCGCUCCCUGAGCGGCCGGACGAUACAAUUCCCUUUUCAAGUGGUGAACUCGAAGGCAGGGCCGACAUUCGGCUGGCGGAGCUACACAGUGAGAAUGGACCUAAAAACGUGUUCUCAUGACUGUCCGUGCGGAAUUUAAGCCUGUGUGCGCUAACUUACCAAAAAAUUAUUUUCCUUCCCCCUACUACUCUACUAUUUAUUGGGGAAGUUCGCUGUUUGUGACUGACGCACGAAAAGCUGCAUGGCUAGCCUAGCUCGUAAUGUUCGCUUGCAGGAUCCCACACACGCACUCACAUGCAUGGACGACACAUGUUCUGUGCUGAUACGUGGCCUUGUUGAGCGUGGCCUGUGCGGAUUGAAAGGAGGCAGGGGGGGUGAUGAGGAGAUGGAGACAAUUGGCACAAGAUGGGCAUGAAUGGGCAUGAAUCGGCAUGAACUAGUUCGAGCUCCCCUGCCUACAGUGUAAGGCCCAAUCCCAACUAGAGUGCCGUCCCGCCCUUCCCCUAAGCUUUCCCGGCUUCUCCUUGGAGCCAACAACAGCAGCCGUGAGCCAUGAACCGACCAAGGCUAUAGUUUAGAAUUGAUGCACAGCAUCACAUCUCAGCCCCAGUGUUCGUUACAUUGGCGGGCGGGGAUAGUGACAACAAGUGAGGCCCAUGGCUUAUCUCCCGGUGUAGCAGCUAGCUGGCCGCCGCUGAAAAGGCCUGUUAAGAUGCUGGCGGAGUGCCUUCGCGUGUGUUAGCAUAGACAAUAUGUGUGCCGUACUAUCCCCAGCUACUACACCCGUGCGCACGUACUUGGUCGAAUCUACAGUCAUGAGACACCAUGCAUGGGAGCUAUAUAUACAGGACAUACAUGUCCUUUCAUUCUAUGCCCUACAUGCACAUCUGUUUCUUCAUGCCAAGCAACCUGUGAUAGUGGUCCAGCGCUGUCAAGGACAUCACAUGUAUGUAUGCGCUCCUCCACACACACACACACACACACACGCACCUGGACGGUCCGCACCCACAGACCAUCAGCCCACCGGGCGGCAUCCGUCACCUGCACAAACACGCGUACGAGGUGUACAAGUAUUAAUGUGUACGAGCGAGGCCAUUCAUUGUGCCCGCACGAAGAAGAUGUACACAUAGGAGCAUAAAUAUGGGGUGUAUAAUAUGGGGUGUAUAAUUAUCCCACAUCACCUAUAGCAGCAGCAGCAGCAGCAGCCGCAUCAUCAUCAUCGCCGCCACUACCGGAAGCGGUCGUCCCGGCACGGCAGCAUGGCAGCAGCACUGGCAGCUACAUGACCCCUACGACCACCUGCCGUCCAGCAGUACUUGUACAUACACACAAAUAUACAAGUCCAGACACAGCCAAGAUGUUCACAAGGCUCGGCAUAGUGUUGCUGGAGGAUUCCAGGUUCAAUCCCGACAAAUAACGGGAUUGAAGUCACUCAUAUACUUAUAGGUACCCUAUCAUGCUAGCAUUUGAUGAUGCACCCGGAUAUGAAUGCUUGCAAGUCGGCCGCAGUGGAGUUGACGCCAGCGUUGAUCCGACAGCAAACUUUUUCUGGAAGCUGAUGAAAGGUGCUAGACCCGAUAAAGUCAUCGAUGCCACACUAGUUAGCCUCCAUGGUUGAGAAUUCUCGAAGGACGAGGGUGGCCCAAAACAUCGGGGAAGGUAGGGAAUGCCAGACUAAUGGCCUUGAUGGCUUGACGCUAUACUCCCCUGUUACUUCACACAAUCAAAAUACUAGUAGCAGGUAGACAGGCACAGUAGGAGUUAGGCAUGCGCGUAUCGUGCAUUCUCAUUCUCAUACCUACAGAAACAUCCCAUAUGUAGGGGAACUACUUGGAAAUCACUCACCUGCUCCAGCAGGAUGUACGCCACCUGCCCAGUAAUAAUGAGGUACAUGCACGUACAUAUGUACAGGCAUACAAUCAUAUAUCCGCAUAAGCACAUGUAUGUUGUUACAGGAAGUACGAGGAAAGCAAGUACGUGUUUCCAGGGGGGAAGGACGGAUACGGGGGCACAUCUGCUGCUGCCUGCUGGCCAGCAGCAGCUAGCGAACCUUAACCAGGCUUAUUACUGACUAACAAUACGAUAGCGCGUUCUAUACUCUUAAGCCUGGAUAGCAGCCGGCAUCCCGCCAUGCAAUACCGGUAUUCCUACAUUGAUGUUGCAGUGCUGAUGGUGGCGGGCACAGGCAGCACGUGCCGGUAUGCUCUGGAGGAUGUUAUACAGAUAUGUGUACGCUCGCUAAGUGAAGUAUAGCCACACCUGGAGUAUCUCCUUUUCAUUACGUUUUUUACACAUAGUAGGCACUAGGGUUACCAGCCACUGUACAUGCACAUACACAUGGGCGCACCGUGCAGGCGCAAUAACGAAAUCUGUUUUUCCCCCCACCACCACCACCUUUCUGCCUUGCAGUAGGAGGCCUUCAAAGAUUCUGAAGUCUAGCUAAGACCCUGAUAAGCCCUUCAAGACUCCAGAAGAUUUCAGGACAACACUACUUGCUACUCGCUCUACCUAGCUAGCUAGCUAGGGAGCUAGGGAGCUCCCCCGGGAGUAUUAAACGUAACGAGGACAUCCAUGCACACCUGAUGAGGACAUCCACAUCCACGCCCACCCACCAACAGCCAUGAAUUGCUUGCAUGUAAGUGUAACGACGCAAAUGCCAAUCUGAGCAUCCCGGGUUACGCCUUUGCUGUGUUACAAUGGUAUCGAGACGGGACUGCACGACUUCCGUAACAAACUUCGGGUCGGCGGUUCGAUUCUGGCAACCAGCAAGUCGCAAAUUGGCGAUUUCAUGGUGUAAUGGAUAAACCAGCGCACUGGCGCGAGGUGGGAUGGCUCCUGUGCUCGAAAUAAUGGCCGAGGACGUCCAUUGCUAAGUGGGGGGCAAUGUAACGACGCAAAUGCCAAUCUGAGCAUCCCGGGUUACGCCUUUGCUGUGUUACAGUAAGCAUGUAUGCAUGUCGUGUAACAAGGAUAGGCACCUGUGGAGACCUCUCGCAUUGCAUCUAUCCGCCGUACAGCAGCAGCAGCAGCCGUCCACAGAAACAUAGAGAACUUAUACAUACAAGGAUGCACACACUCGUAGCCAUUUAGCUAGGAACCACCCACUUAGUGGGUAAUUACCCACCCAUUGACCCACCCACUGACCCACCCAUUGACCCACCCACUGACCCACCCACUGACCCACCCACUGACCCACCCACUGACCCACCCAUUGACCCACCCAAUGACCCACCCAAUGACCCACCCAAUGACCCACCCAAUGACCCACCCAAUGACCCACCCACUGACCUGGAGGAACACUGCGAGCUUCAGGACGGAAAGCACGAUCCGGUUUUUCAUGCUCCGGAACAGCUCCCGUUUAUGGACAUUUUGGUUGUAGCCAGUAAUCUGCCAAGCGAGAGAGCACAUGCGUGUACACCCGCAUGGGGAGGGGGUUAAAAAGGAUACGGGUGAGGGGGGGGAGGUGGUGCCGCAGUGGGAGCAAGCAAGCAGACAUACAGACAUAUGGCUCCAGACACAGCGAAUAUAUAUGCUAAGGCGUGGCAUAGUGUGUCGCUGUAAGGUUCCAGGUUCAAUAAGAAUCCUAUGGUCGUAUGUGGAUGAUCGCCGCCGCUAUUGGCCCCGCAGAUUCCACUGGCAGAUGCUAUGGGCGGUGUCGCUAAAGUCGGCGCUCAAUGCUGAGGGGGGAUGCGGGGGAGGAUGAGGGUGCCCCCGAACAUCGGUGAAGGGAAGAAGGGACUGCCAUCAGGCUAGUGGUGGUUACUGGUCGAAGUGGGGGAACAGCAGAUAUAUAGCAGGUGAUACGUACAUCCUGGCACGGGCAGCCGCUUGUAAGUGCCAGACGUGCCCCCCGCAGAGGUAGCAGCAUCUCCACCACGAGCACCCGGUGCAUGAACUGCUUCAACAGCGCGAAGCAGUUCAGAUCAUGCAGCGGCACCCACUGCAGACGACCGGCCGGGUAGUCAGGCCACCGCCUGCAUGUAGGCCAUGGUAACAUACAUACAUACGUACAUACGGCCAUAUGGAGGGAGCGACGGAGGGCACUUAAGUGCGUUUAAAGUCAAGUAUGUAGGCGAGAGGGGAAUAGGGGAGGGAAUGCUUAUUUGCGCAAGUAAGGCAGCAAAUAAACAGGAUGUAUGUGCGUAAUAACUACACAAAUAUUUAGGACAUACAGAAGCAGAAGGUAAAAUUUAUGUUCAAAUUCAUUCGUUUCGUGCAGCACAUACAGCAUAGCAUAGCACGAUGUAAGGAGUGAGGCACAGCAAUGGACAGCAGAUGAUGUCUGCUGCAUGUUGAAGUGUGAUGAGAGCACCCAUAUGUAUGGGUGCUCCUCUACUCUCCCUUCUCUUCUCCCUGCCAACACCCUAUGCACACCACCCAGGACUGGUCCCUCAAAGUGUACCUGCCUGUCUAUAUUUUCUCCUGCCCUCUUCCCCUUUUUCAGCCCUGCCCCUUUUCCUCUCCUCACUCUGACCUUCCCCCCUCCUUCCCGUCCCAAUUCACCCGGGCCAUGCCUGGCUGGUCUCCACUCACGUCUGGUCCUUCACUGGGUUGUAACGCCAUUCCACCAAGAACUCCAGGCGGCAUUGCUGCUCCUGCAGAUCCGCCUGCAGCUGGCCACCACUGCCGACCGCCACACCGUGGCGAAUCUGCAAGCCCCAGAUGUCCCCCACCUCCCACAACUCCUCCUCCUCCACCUCCUGCUGCUGCUGCUCCUCAUCCUCCCAGGCGGCCUCUUGCAGCCAACUCCAGAGCUUGUUGGCGAGGAUGGUGAACGGCGUCAGCUCCUCCACCCGGCAACACAGGGGAAGCACAGACCUUUCCUGGUUGGCGGUAUAGGUCAGGAUAGCAGGCAUGUUGCUAUCACAUGCCCAAAAGGUCCGGACUUCACGGUCGCAGGUUGCCCAGUGCCUGCUGCGGCAGCUGGAAGAAGGGCCCAGGGCUGGUGUUGCUGCACUGCUGCUACCCGGUGGUCGUGGGAGCUGAUUCCGGAGGCCGUCCAUCAUAGCCCGUGUCACAUGAGACACGGAGCCACCAGCACCGCAGCAAAGAUCUAACCGCUGCAGGACACCCUCGGGGGCCCCGCUGUAGGUGCCACCACUGCAGCCACUGCAGCCACUGCAGCCGCCGUCACCACCACCAGCGCUACUACUGGAGCUGCUAUUGCUGCGGCUUGUGCUGGGCCCUCCACCACCAGCCUGUGGCUGUGGCUGUGGCUGUGGCUGUGGAUGCAUUAGCCCCCGGCUGGCAGGGUGUGGUGCAUGUUGCCCCCUUAGCUCCCUUAGCAGCUCCUCCAGGAGGCCGGGGGAGGAGUGAGGUGUGGCGCCGGCGGCCGAGAAGAAGGGCCCGAGCGGCACCCGGGCAGCAGUGUCAUUACAAAGAUACCUGGGGCCACGCAGACUCUGCGGUAGCCGCCUUGGCUUCGCGUUGGAGGCGUUGGGACAGCUGUUGCUGCCCCGUUGCUUCUUGUGGCCGUGUUGGUCUUGAGCAUCGUUACCAACGUCAUGGCGGCGGCGGCGGCUGGGCAGGAUAUCUUCGUAGGCCUGUUCAAGCAUACAAGGUUUAGAAAGCUGUAAGGCUGUAGUGAUACAGCAGUAGUGAUGGGUACAGCAGCAACAGUAACGAAAAAACACAUAAGGUAGUGGUCGUGGUGGUCGUGGUGGUCGUGGUGGUGGCAGUAGUAGUUUUGUGCAGGAUGCAAUAAAAAUGGCGAGACUAAAUUGUGCGCCCUAUUUCAGGCUCUGAUAGUGUGCGGCUUACUUCUGUCACCCCUUAAUUUAUUGCUUGCUUGGUUGCUUGUUUGGGCUUCAAUAUCAGGUGUUAACAGAGUUGACCUACAUUCACGAUUGCCGGUGUAAGCAGAUAUAGGAGGCUGUAUACUAUACCGGAGCACCACUACUGCAGCUUUCCUGCAUGUAUAUAUAAGAAUCCUAAAACCCUCUAACCCUAUACAUAUAUAAAGGAUAGGCACUACUGGUAAGGCACGGACCAUUGCCCCCGGAAGAUCCCGGAAUCGAGACCUGUCAGGAUCGAAAAUCCUUCCGAUGGUGGAGGGAUGUUGAUCCUAGUCGAUGGACGGUGGUGACCUGGAAUAAAGUUGACUCGCGAGCCAACCAGGAAUGUAGUUCAGCCGCCGUCGAUCCGGCAGACUUCGCUGGAUGCUGGUGGUGGGUGCGGAACCUAAGCGAUCCACUGAGAAGUUGACUAGGGUGACUAGAUGAGGGUGCCCCGAAAUACCGGGGAAGGCAGGGUUUCGCCGGGUAGCGGCCACGGGUGAAGAUAUGCCCCCCUGUCCCACACACCAUAUAUGACAAAAGCAAGUAACCGACUCACCAUAAAGGCCUCGUCGUGCGUUUUGUCACACCACAACUGCUUGCAAGGACUACCGAUAGGCGGUCGGCCGUAGACGAUGGAUACCGGUCUGCGGGUACCGGCGGCAAGCAGAACCGCGUACGCAUGGAAAAUAGAAAAAUAGUAAAAUAGUGGCGAGGACAUCAUUAACAACAACAAUAAUGGGAGGAAGAGGAAGAGUAGGUGGCGCUGGGCCCCGCCGGCCAGGGAUGGAGGGGAAGGGUUCUCAGUGUGUGGUAGGCGGGGGCAGGCAGCGUCUGUGAGCCGUGCCUCAAGGCUUUUUCGUGCUCUUUAAGGGGGGCCCGCGCUGCCUUGUCAUUCCCCCCCCCCGGCAAUAGGUGAUUUGCUUUGUUUCCCGUUGGGCCGCGCCCGGGAGCCCGUAGCCCCCGGGAGGAGACAGCUGCGUGGACCGGGUUCUCCCGCGGGUGUGUGAGUGGACCGGUGAGGUGGAGUGGUGGCCGCCCUCGGGAGGUGUGCGUUGCGUGUGCUAGUCGAACAACUGGCCUUCAGGGACCAGCGUGUGCGCGCUAGCUUUGGGUUUGGUUUCUUUGUGCAACCGCGUCUCGGUGUUCGUGGUGUGGUGACUCAGGCCCGUGGUCCUCCGUGUGUGUCUCUUGCCUUGCGGGGUGUGUGGGUGUGUCCUUGGCUAGGGGGGUCAGCCCCUCGGAGGGGCCGUGUCUGGCCGGGGUAGGUCUUCCCUCACAGACCUCGUCAUUUGAGUUUGUGGCAAAGCCCCCUGUUUAGAGCCCCUGCCCCCGGUGGCGUUUUUCCUAUUCGUUUUUUGUUUGGAGCGCGAGCGGGCGAAUAGGCUGGCCAGGUGGAGUGGUGGAAGGAAGCGUGGUUGGGGACCCCUGAGGUGGUGUGGCGCCUCUCGCGCGGCUCUCGCUUAGAAUGUUUUGCUGGUUUGCUGUGUUGCCUAGCCAGGAAAUCCCUGGCAGGGACUGGGCCCGGUCAGCGCCCCCGGUGCCCUCAGGCAGGGCGACAGGGCCACCCACAGUGUAGCACCCCCUCAACAAUAACACUAAGGAAUAGCAACAACAAUAAUAAUAGUGAUGAUAAUAAUAGCUAUCACAUAUUAUAUAUAUACUAUAGUAUAGGGGGUCGCUCGUCGCGGUUACACAUAUGCAUGGAAGUAUCAAGCAUACACAUACAGGCAUGCAUCCAUCGACAUACAUACAUACACACAGACACACAUACACACAGACACACAUACACACAUACAUACAUACCGCCGUGCAUCAAAAGCUAGCUAACAAGGAUACAUGCACAUAUAUCGCGUACUUCCGGCUGUAGCAGUCUACGUGUAUGGUAUACAUGAUGAACACAUAUUGAGCCAUAUUGCUUUCCUCUCACCUCCUGAUUGACGACAUCUUCACCCGGUCCACAUACUCCCCGAAGCGGUUACUGCAGAGCCACACCCUCUUCUUGUCCACAGGGUCUUGCGGGAUAGGAGGAUCAAGAAAUUUGCGCUGAUCCAACUUGUCCUGGUUGGGUCUAGGCAGGGAGCACAUCCAACCAACCAUGCAUACAAAUAAACAUGCAUCGUAAUAAGAUGUUUGGAGUUCUGGUAAACUGUGAACGGUCAAGUACCGAUCGGCAGAUGUCAGGAUCCCGUGAUACACCCAGAAUACAGCACAUACCCUAUGAAGCACGAAAAGAUGAACAAGAUAUACAUGCAUGAACCACGAAUAAGAAUGUGCGCUAUGCAUGCUUGUUUUAAGCGGCAAUGUUUGAAGAAACACAAUUUUCCAAACGAAGUAAUACACUACUGCGUGCAUGUAUUAUCACGGCUACAGGAAAAGCGCACCGGUCGGCAAAUGUCAGGAUCCCUAGAUACAUACACCCAGAACACAACACAUACCUGUCAUUCUCCGUCUUCUUUCUGACCAACCAGACCCUAUCAGAGGUCUCGUUGUGCUGCAAAUCAGCAGUAUAUACAUAUAUGCACAUAAGAGUAAUAAUUCUUGGUGCCAAAAUCAUACCACGGCACGAUCUAUAAAAUAUUCCAUACCAUGUACAUGUAUCGAUACACGAUCGAUUCCUUGAUCGUAUCUAUGUUAUUAUACGGUCCUACCUAUUAAACGAUGACCCUGUCUAUGUGUAAUAACUAUUUCACCGAGGACGGGCGUGUAAACAUACAUGGAUUGAUGCAGGACAGACAUACGGCGGAUGCACGGCGCACAAAUACAUACAUACAAACACGGGUACAUGGCCAUGGACAGAUGCUCACACGCACGUACACGGAUACAUGGACAGGCCGGAUACACAUUUAGGCUGAUGAAUAUGUAGCUGAUGAACAGCAAGUGGCAUGGUGCUACCCUGGACUCAUGCCAGGGUCCUCUGGGCACGGCGGGUCUAUUAACUCUUAUCUGCGAUUUUUUUCCUAUAAGCUUGCAAUAUGUAUGGACAGGGCCGGCCCGCUCCAACCUACCCUGAAGAGCCACUUCCCCUCCACCUCCAUCUCCUUCAGCAUCUUGGCCUUCAGCGCAUCCGUGGCUACCUCCCAGCCCUGCACCCCAAACGUACAUGCACGCAUUUGCACGUGUGUAACGAAACGAAAGCGAUCGAUUGCAAAACCCGGUGUGCAACCCAGCAAGCCAGACGGCCAACCCACCUCAGGGCGAGGCACACGUGUCACCUGAAGGCCAGAUCAGGCAACAUGCAGGGCCGGUGGGGUUUGUGUGAGCAGCGAAGGGGUAGGCAGUGCGGUUAUUAUCCAGCAGUGGCACGCGAUACCAUCUAGCUAGGUGCGAUGAUGAUGAUGAUGAUGCAUGUAUGUGGUAACGAGAACUGUCGUGGCACCCUAUGUGUGCGGUACUGUCGCGCUCAUGUACACACUUCCACCUGAUCGGCUGUUUUCCUAUACAUGCCCCUGCAUGCGCUACUACUACUACUACUACUACUUCGCCUCGUGGCAUAUCAUUUCGCUCUUAUCUUAUCCUUUUUGCAUUUCGCCUAUCGCAUGUUGUCAUGCGUAAAUCUGCUGGGUUACAGCGCUCUCAGCUUGCUGUAGCCGUGACACGCACUUGCCACCACUGGUGGACCCGCGAGGGGUAUCGUGUUGGUAUCAUAGUUUUUGCAGUAAACGGCGAUUAUAUAUCUUGCGAUGAGGUCCUUUUCCCGGGUCGUACAGCACAUUGCUGCACAAUAAAUAGUCUUCGUUGAGACAUUAAACCUCCCUCCUACCUAUUUAAUCACGGAUCGGUAACUCUCACCACCACGACCAUACAAUUAAAUGGCGGUGGUGAUACCACAGGAACACAUACAGAGCUACAGUAAGAUGUGCUGGGGCAUACAUACCGGUACCUCCAGGGAAAACCUACACCCUAAUAGUAGUAGGGUUUUAGGGUUUUAGGGUACCUGGAAAAGGCACUCCCUAUUCGCUUGGGAGCCCUUCGCCAUCUCCACCCAGUAGGUAGCUCCUGGCAUUAGGGAGUUCUGCGCAUAUGAACCGCAUAUGCAUAUGUAGGGGGAUACAGGUGUAUGCAUGUACCCUGAUGGGCCGGGUAGAGUUAUUGCAAGGAUGCAUGCAUGCAGGCUGCUGGAUGGCGGAGUCGCCACCUGCACUGUGGGUUGCCUAAAUGGGUGAAGGCGGCGGUAGGAGGCCUUGUAAUGUUAAAAUAAUGACUUACAAGCCAGUGGUUGUGCCUGCUGCAGCGUGCGCGGGCUCAAUAUAAUAAUGAUGGAGUGAAAAUUGUUGUGGGGCAAAGCAGAUGAGGGAGCUGAUAGCACGUUCUACAUGAUCCGUUUUUUAACCGCAUGCUGGGCAUGCAGGACCUGCUGUACCCACGCACGGCGGGCCUGCUGGGCACGAUUAAUCAUCAGGACUGACCACGGCGUCGAGGAAGAGCGCAUCCCAAACAAUAUGUGACCGUAGACCGUAAAAGAUCGAGACAUCCGUCCUCGCUCAUGUCUUAACGCUCGCUUAACAUGAUUUUGUUUUGGCGGCCCUAACUUGAGCCUCCUGGUCGGCGCAUUAAAUCGAAAAGCCUAACUUGGACACGUAAAAAAAUAUACAAAAAUAGAUGCAUCGUACCAUAAAGUUAAGAUCAUCGUUCAAGUUUCCAGUAUCCUCCGCUUUGGAGGCCUCAGCGCGAAGCCUUGGCGAAUUCCUGGAUUUUCAAAGGUGUAAAUACAACGUCACAGUUUUUUGGCUGGUUUAGGAAAGGCAUCCCACGCACCUUGGCUGCUCCAUGUGAACCUAGUAGUGCUUGGACUCUAAAAUUCAUGCAUUAACAAAAUACGUUUAUCACUAUGAAUAUGUUGCACGUGCAUCGCGAACAUGGAAACAGCAAAGGUGAUAAUGCGAUGUGUGCUGCGCGUCUGGAACCACACCGUACGAGCUCGCUUGUCAGCACACAGAGCAUGAAAAUUGACGUCAUAAGAUGUUUGUUCCUUGCACAUUUAAAUUUUUAAUUGGGCUCGCGGUCCAUCAGCCGCCUGGUUCGUUUCAGCAUCACAAGGUCACUGAGGUUGUGAUAUGACAUAUUAUAAUCUUUUCCUGUCAGGUCUUCAGGAAACGAGGUCUCAAAAAAGGCAGCUAACUGGCUGUCACUUGCAUUCCUUGUUGACGUAGGCAGCGACCGGAUUUUCAUCUACAUGAAUACCAUUGAAGAUAAAGAUGUUGGUGGCGAUGAUAGAUAUGGUUAUUGUGAAUUUUGAUGUAAGGAGCGCCCCGUCAAUUCACGGCUCCUUCCGUCGCCAUCCCUUUGGGACAGGGCUUCUGCAAGGAGUGGACUUCGGGCUUUGGGUAUGAUGUGGCCUUGCUGGCAUCCCCAGGCCAUCCAUGCCAGUGUCGGGCUAUAAGCUCAGCACCGCAGCAGUUCCACGCCACACCAUGCAUGCCCCGCGCCAACCCAUCACUCCCCCUGCGUCUACCUUCUAAGUAGCAGCACUGUAAAUAUGCUUAACUGACCCACUCAGCACAAGGCAAGGCAUGCCCCUUAAGUUACGGCAUAUAUGUGAUAUCUCAACAACGGCGACUUGCUGUGAAGACAGCGGUCCGCUAACUCUGAUUCCCGUAAGGAAAGCGGUGCCCAGGACAGUGAAGGGGAGGGAAAACGGAAACAGAUUCAGGGCCGGGAUCCCUGCGAUCGGCCUACGCCCAAAUGGUGCAUGGACCUCACAGAAGCGGCUUACGGUUGGGAGGAGCGUGUUGCCUUAAGGACAAGCGAGGGCGGGAAACACGUUUAACUGGGCCGGCGCGUGGCUGACAAGGCUUGGGAACUUAUAGCGAGUUGAUAUGCCGGAGGGUUUACUGAAGAUGUUUGGCCAUCCAUGUGAGUUUGUGAGCACGGAGCAAUUAUGGUUGGGAGGCGGUUGGCGGUGGCAGCAGCACCAGAAGCAGCAACAGCAGCACCAACAGAAGCAGCAUUAGAAGCAACAGCGGAGCAAGAACUUUAGUAGGAGUUGUUUUAACGUGCAGGAAAUCUAGCUUCGCGCUGCCUGGCGGCCUGCCAACCAUUCUACGCUAAGUUUGUAGAAUGGAUGGCAGGCGGCCGUGUGUGCAUGCCUGCGUCAUGCUUGUACUUCACGGAUGUUUGGGGGAUGCAGUCCGUGGCCCAUGUCCUGUCCCCGUGUUUUCCCCCUUGGUUCGCCUCUCUCGGCCUUGCCUUGGUGAGAAGUGUUGCCGUCGGGGCGCUGUGGCCACCAGAGGAGAUACCCCAUGUAAGUGUACGGCGUUUUCGGUGUCCGUGUUAUGGGUCAUGAAUCUAAUCCUUUGUAUAUAUUGCGCAAGUCUACUCUAGGUGUCGUACCGUCGUGGCAUAGUUGCACGCCGUGGCACGGCAAUAGACACGUCACACGCUGACGUGUCCGAACACACGCGUCCUCCUUGCUUGCACCUCGUCAUCUGCCACAUGAACCUGGGUCUGCAAGAUGAGGACACACCGCGGUCUUGCUGGGGCUGCUGCUGCUGCUGCUGGCGCUGGAAGUACCGAAGGUAAGCGCCUUCGAGAGCUGCCACUGCUGGCACGUGCGUACGGCGAACAACUUGCAAACAUACGUACGGCAGCGACACGGUGGUGUUGCAAAAGGAAGGUCCCCCGGUGGCAGAGGUGAAGACUAUGGCAGUCCUUGCGGCGAAGGCAGUUCUGGUGCCGGUGGCAGACGAUGAUGUGCUGUGCAUAGAUAAGGUGCUAUCAUUUUUCAUCACCCCGUGGGGGUUGUAUCUGGUGUCGAGCCCCGCGGGGAUCGGCUCACCCUGGGGCCGUUGUCCUGUAUUCCACUGCCCGGGGGAUGUGCUCUGUAGAGGUGAAGACCCAUUGCCGUGGCGGGUCCGGGGUGCUCGUGGCGUCGGACGGAUCUGGUCCACGCGCAACAGCAAGCAAGCGGGUUGAAGAAAUCCGUUUCAGUUGAAAUAACGGUUGGAAGUUCGUUGACCGUGUAAGAUCGAAUGGGAGAGGCAAGGCAGAAAGGGCACAACAACUGAUGCUUGAGUGGAUGCCAUGCGCUGUGUGACUGUGCGAGUUAGUGUGAAAGUGUUAUUCUAGGCGAAGGGGGAAAAGGGAGAGGGCGGCAUGGCCCCGCUGUGCUGGCUUUGCUGCCUAUUACCGCACACCUGUUACUGUUACCGACAUACCUCGACUAAUGCCCUGCGUUUGUAGCUACCAUACUUCUUGCUUAGUAUCCGUGCAGCCAGGUAGUAUCGUCCCUAGGUCAUCCUCCCUGCCACACCUAACCCCAUUUCCAACCCUACCUUGCCCCAGUCCAGCCCAUUGCUCAUCUCCCCUUUUCUCAUUGAUUGCCUUGACACGCGGGGAUGUCGCAUCUCUACUGAUGUAAGCGGCAUCUAUGCAGUGUAACGAAUAGCCACCGUCGGAUAACAUCCGGCAUCAUGCCUGACUGAAUCGGGGCUUGGGAGAACAGUGCUCUAUCUGUGUCAGGGCUUCAGGAUAAGUCAGCUUCAUUUGGCAAGCGCCACGCCCCCCUAUCAGGUGCAUCAUGCAACACUUUCAUGCACACACCCACGACACAGCCAAAAGCUCAACCCUAUGCCGAAGAACCAGCGAGCCCGCAAAGCUAUGAAUGAACCAGGUCGACGGCCAAUUCAGAACACACGACGUCAAGCUCCAAAAUGACGCCCCCCCCACACUGCUUAUUCUCACACCGCCAAAGCGCAAGUCAAGGAAUUAACCGUCACCGGGAAUAGCAGCCAGUCAUGUCCAGAUCACACGGCAAAAUGGACAACCAAGGACGCCUCUCGACGACUUGUCCGCAUUGGUGUGUUUCUCAACACACACCAAUGCGGAAAGGCAACAGGUAAAAGCAAGGGGCAACACACAUGCCUAGGUCAUGUUCGCCUGACGUUUUCACGGAAGCAAAAUUGCUCAGUCCUCCUGGCCCUCCUGGCAUCCAAAACCUUCCAGCACCAGCCUCCCCACGAACACACGAACGGCAGUUACCGCCCUGUCCAUGAAUCCAGACAGCCAUGCACGCACGCAUACACUACUACUUCCGUUGCUGACCCGCAGGCCCUCCGCCUCCACCUCUUCCCGCUGCUACUGCAGCUCCUUUGUUCCGGGAGGCCGAGGGUACCCAGGGAUGCCGGUCGCUGAUGACCUUGCGUUUCCGCGCCUCCGCCUCCAUCUGCUCUGGGGUGAGAUGCCGCUUAGGGGGGACCGGACCAAACUGCUUCACGAACUGGCCCCGGCGGAUGCGUGCUGCGUCAUGGACUCGGGCCUCCUCCUCCUCUUCCAGGAUCAGCGUGCUGCGGUGUGGUAUCGGGCAAGGGAAGGGUAGGAAGGAUGGGUGGUGGAAGCCAUAUUUGCAGAAUGCAAAAAAUCAGUUGUUGGCGUAUGGCGAGGAAGGGUCCGGAUAGUAUAACACACAUGCUCCUGCGCAUAGUAUAUAUGUAGAAAGGAGCCCCUUGCAUCGCAUCAGCAGCACCCCACGUUCUGCUUUCCCCAUUCCGUCUUGAGGUAGGCGGUAUGUGCCCUUUCUGAUGAUGAUGAUGCGAAACAGCAUCAAAGAAGGUUUCGGAUAGGCUGCAGUUGGGACACAAAACUGCACGACAGACAACAGAUCUAUAUUGCACACACACACACACACACACACACACGCGCGCGCGCACACACACAUCCGCCCCAAAUCCAAGAAUGUCUUCCACUCUGCCGAACCACUUUUUUCAAUAGUAUUGGCGGUGUGCCGCCCUCGCCACCUCCUACUUGUGGCUCAGCUCCUUAACACGCAUACACACGCACACGCACACGCACACACACACGGGGCGGCCGAGCAGCACGCCCCGUGUGGGAGCUCAUGUGGGUCAAGGGGGGGAUCGGGCUGUGCGGCACACGGGCGGGGGAGCCGCUGGGAGCAACGCUAAGACCAACCCGGUCUGCGUGAAUAGGCUGAUCCGCAAAAGAAGGUUCGAGGAUUCGAUCCAGGGUUCACGAAAAGGAGAAACCAGACCUGGUCCCCACCCACUCUUCCUCUAGACCUUCGGAGUCCCCCGGAUGCAGGCGGUGCAGCCUCAACUCAAUCGAACUCAACUAGUACCCCACUGACAUCGAUCCCCUCGUCGUCCUCCUCCUCCCCCCUGUUCCCCACCCCUCCCACCUCUCUGCCUAAGAUUCCCCCCUUUCCACCUCCUCCUAACCCUACCCCAACCCCAAGGUUCUCACCUCCCGCCCACUUUCGCCAGCAGCUUCCGCUUGAGCGCCUCCGUUGCCUCGAUGCUGGCCAACUUGUCCCGGGCAGACAGCGGCACCUCCGAUAGAGUGGACACUAGACCGGGCAGCACAACCUCCUGCUCCAGAGUAUUCUUGAAGUCGGCAGGCACAGCGUACAGCUCCGCCUCAAUCUGAGAGCAGACGGAAGUUAUAGUUUUUUGGGUUUCAGUUUGGGGCAGUUAUUACCUGGGUUGCUUCGUGCGGAGAUGGGGAUUGGUGUUGGAAUGUGACCGACACUCAUACACCAGAGAGUGGUAGCAGCAGCAAUAGGGGACCCGGGAGGAAAGGUCCGGCGUUUUGCUGGUCUUAACAAUUGAAUUAUAAAAGAGGCGAAAAGGCUUCUCUGCGGCCGGAGGAAAGCAAGGGCAUCCCUCCACAAGCCGCAAUUGGUCCCUUCUUAGGAUUCCCCCUUCCGAAUGCCCCAUGGCUUUUCCACCACCGGAUCACGUCCUCCCCUCGCCCGCAUAUCCACGUCCCGCCCCGGUCCCGUCCCGGUCUGCUUGUCUUUCCUAGCAUUGAAAUGCACCUGAAAACACACACAUAUACAUACAUAGAUAGAUACAUACGCAUGUAUGCACAUCAAUACACAGACACGCACAUCAAUACCCCGAUCUCCCCUCAUCCGCGCCCUUGAUCACCUUUCUCUUCUUUGCUUCCGGGUCCAGCUCCUCAUCUUCGGACACUUGCGCGGCCGUCUUCCCCAGUCGCACCGCCAACUGCUCCUCUAUGUACUUUUGCCUGUUGUUGCGAAGCAACAUAGAAGAUAGCAGAUGGCGGCGAUAACAGCUAAGGCAGUGAGGAGAGCCAAAAGACUGCAGUUACACGGGUGAAAAGCAGUACCAUUGCUGUGGGUACCAUUGCUAGGCAGGACAGGGCAAAAUCGCAUCACAUCACAUCACGUCAGAUCACAUCACGUUCUCAGCUGAUGUGCGCAGGUCAAUCAAGUUGCAUCAGCAUCAUCCGGCACUCACAUGGCCUGUACGGCACAUCACAAGUGAUGCUGCUUCCCUGUGCUAGGGGGACGUGUCGUGACGGGGUCGGAAAUGGGGUGGUAGAGCGCGCGUGCGCGUGUGCGUGCGCGUGAGAAUGUGUCGGUUGCAUAGGACAGACACUAUCUUGGGGAUGAAGGAUGGUUGUCGGGAUUGCUACUACUGUGCGAAUCUGUGUGUACGCGUGGAUGUACAUGUGUAUAUGCUAAGGAUAGGGCUAUGUAGGUAGUUUAGGGGACGGAGAGAUGGAUGGGGUGUGCAAAGAGCAAAGGGGAGUGGGGGCAGGGGAAUCACCAGGCCUGAGGGGACCCCCGCUCUGUGCGUGGGAGAGGGGUAAGACGAAAACCUGGCGCAUGAAGCAAACACCAGUGUAAACGGAUAGAGCGUGGGAGAGAAGAGGGAAAUGCUGGAAAAGAUCUUGGGGCCUCUUGACGAGUAAACAACUCUCUCGUUCCUCAACCCAGGCACAGUCUUGCGUUACGCUCUCUAAAAUAUGUAUAAAAUACAUAACACGAAUGCAUAAAUCAGUGUAUGGCUGGGCCAGGUUCCGUCGGGAUGUGCGUGUGCUGAGGGCGAGUGCGCCACACGCCCGCGUCACUCGGGCACAUCGCCUCCUUUAAGCCACCCACAUGUGCGCAUCCUCGUCCUGCUGCGUCGCUAUGGACUUGGCCUUGACGUAGGUAUCCAUGACGGGCGCCGUGCCCCCGGCAUCGGAAGGUCCUUCAUCUGCUGCGGACUGGGGCUCUGUUGAGCCAGCACGGACCCCACCCCCGCCACCGCCGCUGUUGGGCCCUAUCCCUGGCCCCGCCAGCCCCAUGGCCAAUGCCCCAGCACUGGCACCUGCUGCCCUCUUCCGAAGCUGCUGCAUGAGCCGGGUCUCGGUCAUCUUGUCCCUGAGCCGGGCAGGGCAGGGCAGGAGCAGGGAAGCGCGUGGCAGGACAAAGGAGGGUAGGGCGGGAUACCAUGAGGAGGGAGGGAAAUCGGUUUGGGUCCUGUAUAUGCAGGAGGAAGGGGAUUCUGACCGGCUGGCCGCGGCUGGCCGGGCGCUGCACGGGAAACAGUGCACAGGCGGUAAGUGCAGCUAACAGUGGGACUGAGAUAGUGGUGACGGACAGGGCAAAAGGCGUUGCGGCAACAUCGAUCGGCCAGGUAGAGGGUCCUUAUUGUGCUGUGCUGCCCGGGCGGCCUGGUCAAGAUGGCGGGAAAGCGGGAAAGUGUGAGUAAGGGAGGGCAGUAGAGGACCUGGAAGGAUGUUGGGGCGCUUGGGGACCUGGCGCAUAGAGGCUACAUGGUUCACCCGCACGCCAACAAUUCGAGGAGUUGGAGGUUAUGUUUCCCUCUAAGCCCCUGGUAGCCAGCCAAUGGGACUCGCCAACCUCGGGAGGAGACCAGGUCAUGGAGGCUGUUCCGGCAGGAACUCGCCAAUGAGCGUCAGCCGUUGGGAUCCCUUUUCCCCCAGGAUUGCGUGUGCUACUCGUAGCGACAUCUACCACAGCAUGUGUACAUAGCGCAUGGAUUUCGAUUUGAAGAGGACCCAUUUGAGUAAAGCACGACUGCGGUUGAGUCAAUUCCGGGACUCUUACCUCUGGUAUUCCACCUCGCCCUCGCCAUCUGGGCCGCUCUCGGGCUCCUCUGACAGAGCCUUUUUUCGUAAGUUGCGCUGCUUGGACAUCUCCGGUGCCGCGCUUAUGCUGCGUGCCGGAAUCGACGUCUGCACCUAAAAGCGUCGUGCGAAGAUAAUUUAUAACAUGGACCAAAGCUUUGUUAAGUAUUCAUAAUUAAAAUGGCACGGACCAAUUAGGGUAGGCAGGAGAAAGCUUAAAAGUUAAGGUAUCAAAUGUUUUCUCCUGGUUAACUUGGCAGCGACAUAAUUUGGACAGAGAUUCUGGUGUCUGAAUUGGAAUUAUUCAAACCUUGCAUCGCGGUCAGUCCCCGCAUAUUGCAUAGAGCGAAUAAUCACUAUAAGGCCCUCAACGAAAACGGACUGACACAAACGUGUGUGUGUGUGUGUUACCGCUGCACGACAUGUGCCCUAUUUCAACUUUCGAGGUUAUCGGUCUGACCGUCCUGCUUAUGCCCCUGAUCCCCCCUUUUCCCAUUGCACAGCGCGGGCUCGGACAAGCCUAAGUGCGGUGCAUUACCGGUGCCAUUUCCGUGGCGGGUUUCGUCGGCGAAUGGAGGGCGAUGACUUUAGCGUCCCCCAGACACGUGUACGGUAGGUUUGGGAUCGCAGGGGUAUCAAAAUGUCCAUCCCGUCUGUCGUACCGUCGUGCGAAGCACGUGGUGUUUUGUGCCAUGCUGUGUCGGGCAUUCUCGUGCUAUCAUGUUUAGCUGGCGGCUGGCAGCAGAAGCGGCAGAAGCGGCAGGGACAGCCAUCGUAUCAAAGGCUUUCGGAAAGGACUCUAGCGUGCAGCAAAUCCAGGUCACAACUGCCGGCCGCCUGCCAAGCAAGAUAUCGUAAUAUGUAUUCCUGUAUACCUGGGCCAUGUUUGCAUGGCAUUGGUGUUUUCGAUUCGCAAUCCGUGACCAACAUCCUGUCCCCUUGUUUCCCCUUUUUGGCGCUCCUCACUCGGCCUUGGCUUGGUCAGGAUACUGCAGCCAUGCAUCAGAGGAAGUACCCCAUGGUCAGUGUACGGCAUUACGGUUUCAGCCUCGUGGGUCGUUGAUGUACCGCUUGUUGUACUGUGCACGACUGCCGUACUGUGUCGUACCGUCGGGGUAGAAUUGCGCACUUGGUAUGCCGUGAUCCCGUAAUUGAUGCAUCACACGCUGACUUGCCCACUCAUACGCCCUCCCCGCUUGUUUCUCACUGCCUGUCCGCAUGAACCUGGGCCUGCAUUCAACAUGAGGAGACAUCGUGGUCCUGCUGCUGCUGCUGCUGCUACUGCCGGAGAUGAGUACCUUCAAGAGCUGUUAGAGGUUGACAUGACAAUUCAGCGAACAGGAGGCGGUGCGCUGGUCUGGCAGCGCCCACAAUGGGCGAUAUGCCGCAUGAACGAUACCUGGAGCUGCGCUGCACCAUCCUUCAGACAUGCCUCAAAGGGCCCCUCCGCAAGGCUACUCGCAUCACUCCGCUCUCCUGAGCUAGUCCAAGACUUCAGCCACACUUGACACCCAUACAGCAGUAUUGGUCGUACCUGCGUAUCAAAACAGCUCAUCCUGACAUCUGGAGCGAACAAGUUUAACUUAUCCAUUAUCGUACUCAGCACGAACAUAGCUGCCCUAGCUGUGUCGUACAACUCCUGGCAGUAGGCACGAAACGGUCGUUCCGGUCCAUACACUAAACCCAGAUUUCGCGCACCCUCCUUAGCCGGUACGGCCUCACCAACUAGCAUCAGCUCAUUACCCGAUGCUUGAACAGCACUCCUUGUGUCGCUGUCGCUCGUAGAGACGAGGCGUUCAUAUUUCAACACAUUUGUCCGCAUCCCCAAAUCGUCACAUGUCCACGAUUUUGAGCAGCUCCGCCAUGCGCUCUGGUGUCGUUGGCAGAAGACUAACGUCAUCAGCAUAGAAGAGCAUAGAGGAGGAUGGACACUCGCUCAUUUCCAACCUUCACUGCAUCCUUCGGCCGUGCCCUGGUGUUAAUACCGUCAUGCAUAUCAAUGACAUCCGCAAGAGUUUCAAGGAAAAGUCCAAACAACUCAGUUGACAGCGGACUGCCUUGUUUCGCACCCUGUUUUGACUCAAAUUCGCCCCCAGUCUUGUCAUUCGUCUUGAUGGCCAAAUUUAAGUUUAUAAGGUUUCGGGGAUGUAAUUGUCCGGGUCCCCAGCGCUCGCGGUUUGGUUUAACGAACGAUUAACUAGCCUGACUCCGAACAUCACUCGUUUGUUUGGAGUAAAAUUGAACCUCGCUAAACGAAAUAAACUGGCUGCAGCAAGUUUCACCCGCUACCGGGGGGCUUUCUGUGUCGGUAAUCUCUUAUGCAGUCUAGCCUUGGCAUUUCUCUUGUUCAGAUUGGCUGGAGGAUUCGGGCACAUGCAGAGAGUAAGCUUGUCGUAACUUUAGUUGUGAUCAGAGACACUUAUCGCCGAGCGCUCCCCGCGUGGACCUUCUGGCCUUUUCCCACGUUGACUUGCGGCCAACUACUUGCGUCGAGCUGCUGCUGCUGUGACGUGCAAGCACGAUCGGGUGAAUAUCCCGUCGAGGACCCUGGCGCCUAAUUUUUGUGUCUCGCUCCCCGCUCCCCGCUCGUGAUCGUCACUGUUGCCCUUUCCUUGGCUGAGUGUCAGCAUGGCCGCCGGUUGGGGAUGCUAUAAAGACCUUGUUACAUUAAUAAUCGUGUUUCAGUUGUAUCCUUAUGUAGUUAUGAGAUUAAAACGGGGCGGCUACCAGUGAAGCCGCAGCGGCAGCGCCCUGGCUCUCACGCGUUCGUGUUCCAGUGUCAACUCAGUGUAUUUGUCAGCAUCUUGGGCACCCUAAUCCAGCAUGGCUUUCGGAGCUCUACAUUAUGCCGAUUAUAAAAAUACUCUUCCUAUGUGUUUGUUUUUGAGAAAGUGCUGAGGUAUGGAAAGAGGUAUGGUCUUAGUCAUUAUCGCCACGCUCGCAAAGUUACUAAGUUGAUGCGGAGCAAUGCUAUAAGACUAAUGUCCCAAGGGCAAUGCUGUAAAUUUUCACAAGUUACGCCAUCACAUGCCCACGAGCGAUGACGCCGUGAGCCCGUCGGUUGGCGACGCCACGGUUCUUCGUUUAGCCGUUCCUGGGCCGCAACGUCUGUACCCUGAGAGUCAGUGGCACCAUAGAUUGUUUUUUAAACCACUACUGUGCUGUCCGGCGACUGAAGUUGGGUUUCUGGGCCUGCUACGCACAGCGUGCCGUACCGCAGCCGACUGGAAGUUAGCUUGCAUGCCGUCCACAGGCCAGUUGAACAACAAAUGAUUCAUAAACAGAAUAAAAAGCUUUGUGCGGCGGUAACCCUUAUGACUGUACUUCAUUUACAAUUCGCUGCGAUUUUCUUUUUCAGUAUCGGCAACAUGGCCAGAGGCCGGAUGCCUCCUGUUAUUGUAGUAGCUUUAAUAGCUUCCUAUGUUAGCGUCUCGGCUGCUCAGCUAAUUGCGCCUUACUUCACUUCGUUUGAAACCGGGCAGGAUGGCUGGGGCGUUCUCGUCCGCAACUGGGCAUGUCCUUGCCCUGAGGCCACGCUCAAUUUCUCUAGUCCUACUGCCAAGCUCUCUGGUGCUGCUGGCCUUCAGGUUUCCAUCACGGUAUGUUGGUCGUCACAGGGCCUGACAAAGCUUCGUUGCUUCAACUUGCCAAAAUGGCAAUACUGAACAUGUAGCACUCCAAUACCUUCGUCAUGUAAUUAAAUAAACUAGGCUUUCCUAUGUAGUUCAUGUCCGUGGAGAAGAGGGGACGUUUGUGUAGCUGGUUUUCAGUUUCUGCUCGCCAUUACUGUUGUGCUUCCUUGUUGUGCUCCAGCUUCCAACGCAAGCGAUAUAUUCCAGGAAUAUAAUCCAAUUAUAAGAAUAACUCGCUGUCGGGCAUUCAGGUACCGUCCGACCAAGGAUGGCAUGUCCAAGCCAGGUCGCCGCAGUUCAACAUGACGGCCGGAAAUGUAUACACCGCUUGCGUCUGGCUGCGGGCCGCUGCAACCCUGGGCGGUGCAGGAACCGUAUCCUUCAGCCUCUUGACGACGAACACCUACGAGACGCUCGGCUGGGCGGGGACAAACGUGAGCGCAACGUGCUGACCUGACGCGCUGUUCCCGAGCCAACAAUGAUUUCAAUUGAUAUAAUGAAAACGCACGUACCCGCUGUUUGCUUCAUAAUUCAGGUUGGCACAAAUUGGACCCAGCUAUGCAUGAGGAACAUCGUCCUGAAUGUCAGUGCAGUGACGUACUAUACGCUGGACUUCGGACUCAACACGGGCUCCGUGUUUGUCGACGACAUGAAUGUAACCACCGGGUAAGGAACCGGUUUCGACGGCCUCGAUCGGAUUUGAUCUGGGUUGGAUCGGAAUGGAUCCACCUAGAUCUGGGAGGACGGGGCAUCCGUAGAGAGUCUCGGCCUUAGCGAUGCAAACAAGGCUUGCGGCGGGUGCAUGGCUGGGCAAGGGGACGAGGACGACGGGGACACAGGACGGGUCGGGUGCAGCGGGCCGAUAACUAGAUCGGGAUCAGUGUACAGAUUGCUAGACCGCAGGUUUUGGUCCACGGGGACUGCCAGUCCCUGACACGGGGACUGUGGCAGGGCCUCUGAGGACGACCCACAUCGGGCGGGUAGAUGUCCCGUGAAACCAUUUUCCGGUUUGCUUGCAUUACAUCAUGUGCGUUGUAGAUCGUCCAGAAUCGUCCUGAAGCAGCCCGCCGUCGGUAUUAAGAUAUUGCUGCUACGGGGCUCACGGCAGCCAAGCUGGGAUACGGAUCAUUACUGGAAAAAACGUUGACCUUUGCACCCUUGCACCUUGACACCUGAUCAACAGGGCGAUGCCGUCACCGUCACCGCCUCCGUCGCCAUCCCCGAUUGCCGCUCCCCCCGGCGACUCCCUGGUUCUGAUCAACACCUCGUUCGAGGCGGGUCAGCAGUCCUGGUCGACACUAGUUCGCAACUGGGCCUGUCCCUGCCCCCAGGCCACGUUUGACUUUGCAAGCUCAGCGGCCGCGUACACGGGAAGCAAGGGCGUCGAAGUCAAUGUGCAGGUGGGUAACAUCCACAUGCUUGGACUGUGUAGCAUGCGGUGUACGGCAGUGUGCCUUGUACGUACCUUAAUGUAUAAUGUAGUGACUCAGGCAUGUUUUCCCACAUUAGGACCUUUAGGACCCUGUUUUGGACGUAUUGCUGCGAUGGCGAUGAUGCGGUUGUAAUAGGGACAUGAUACCCAGCCAUUCGAUGACAUGUGUCGGCGGUUUUCGUGGAAAUUGGGCUUUUACUGCGCAUGUAUGCAUGCCCGUACGUGCGUUUUAAUAAACACAAAGAGGAAGUACAAAAAUGCAAUGCCGUACGUGUUUCUACGUGUGUAUUUGUGUGUGUACCCGUACGACGCUGCGCCUGUUGCAGGUGCCUUCCGACCAGGGCUGGCAUGUUCAGCUUCAGAGUCCGCGCUUCAACGUGUCCAGCGGUCAGCGCUACACGGUCUGUGUGUGGCUACGGGCCGCAACGGUCCCCCUGAUGACGGGUAGCGGCAAGAUGUCCAUGAGCCUGCUGAAGACGGAAACAUACGACGGGCUUGGAUGGGCGCAAGCAACGGUGAGAGAAUUCAAUUCCGUUACAGUCAGGAAACUAUCCAUGCAAGCUGCUACCCUGUUCGUGUGCGGUUGUGUGGACGGUGUAAUGGAUCUAAUGAGGAAAGGGAAGGAAAGGGGAAAAGAAAGGAACGGAGGGACGCGAGUAGGUUCGUGCAGCUGCCUGCUGCACAUGCAAGUGCAGACAUGUUUUGUUGACAAAUAGGAAUUAUUUCUGCUCCACUGGCACUUUAUUUCUAUUUUGGCUUAGGUGGUAUCAUAAAUUUUUCUCCCUGGUUGCUGUACAUUCUCCGAUGCGUUCGUUCCAGACACGCGCAUGCGGUCCAGGUAUAUUUGAGUGUUGCAGAUUGGGUGGCUUCUGGGCCAUACGCCGGGUAUAGAAGCUGUCCACCUACCAGGCUUGUACGUGUGUAUGUAUGCUUCCUUUUGCUGAUUUGGGUUGCACGUGGAUUCGCUGCACGUGAACUAUUUGGUGGGUCGCAGGUUACCACGAGCUGGGCCCAGGUGUGCCUAGCGGACGUGCUGAUUUCCAUCAAUGCGACUGUGUACGUGACGAUUGAUCUGGGCACCAACACGGGCAUCUAUCACCUGGAUGACUUCACCGCCAUUAACGGGUGCGUGACGAGCGCAAGUAGAGCACACGGUUGGGAUGCAGGAACGGGUAAGACGGGUAAGGCUUUGGGGUCUCGUGCAGAUACCAAUGCAGGUGUGAACAGAAGUACGGCAUUAGGUACAGGUAUAGGCAAGGGCAAUCAGACCAGAUGUGGAUCCAAAAAGAAAGUAUGUCUCAUGGCUUUGUGCUGGGAUGGGCGGCGAUGUCGAGCGAUGAACGCUGGUUUGUUUGUUAUGGUUGCAGGAGGAGCAGCGGCGGCAUUAGCAUUCCUGCCACUAACGGGCCCCUGACGGCGCCGUACUCGACGUCGUACGAGUCUGGCCAAGCUAACUGGAUUGGCAGCAAGAAGAAUACGUCUACGGCCUCGUUUAACUUCUCGAGCUCGGCGGCAAUGCGUACGGGAAGCAACGGUGUCGAGAUUGCCGUACAGGUGAGGUGGUGAAUAUUAUUGCGGUGCAACAUGAAAGGAUGUGGCGAUUCGGCGGCCGUUUGCUUUGUGACUCUAAGCAUUUAGAUUUGGUUUUUCAUAUUUCUCAUUCGUAAUACAGGUACCGUCAGUGGAGCGGUGGGACAUUCAGCUACAAUCUCCCCGGUUCGCCAUCAACACUAGCUUCAUGUACACGGGCUGCGUCUGGCUACGUACCCCUGGGGGACUGAGUGCUGGCAACCACGUGCCGUUUGUGAUGCUGGAGGAAGGCACGUAUGCCAUGUUUUCAUCGGGACAAGCACUGGUGCGUAAGGUUACCGGGAUAACAGGAAAUGUGGACGGCCUGGGCGCGGGCGAAUAGGUGGAUGGGCGGACCGGUGGAAUUGUGCAUGUGGGGUAUGUGGUUGGGCUUGGAUGCUGGCACCGGCGGUGAUCGGACGAUGGCUUGACAGGGUGCGGUGUUGCCACCCGGUGAUCUGGUGCCAGCACACACACCCCGGCGAUGACCCCAUGUGGGACUUUAUCGGCCUUUGUGGGCCUUGCGGGUAGUCCAUUUCAAGUGGGGGGUUGAGAGGGAUUUGCGUGUGAGGAGGAGGAGGGGGGGGAGGAGGAGGAGGUGGUGGCAGGUGCGCCAAAGCCCAGCUCACUGAGCCUGGCUCACACACCGUCUGCCAGCAGCAUAUCACACAGUCGCUACAACCCACCCCAACCCGGCAGACGCACCCCAAUACCCCCUUGAACCCCGACCCAACGACCCGGCAUAUAAAACCCGAAUCCCGAACCCCCCUUCCAGUAUGCAGGUGACUCCGGUUUGGAGCCAGGUGUGUGUGAUGGACUUCCGCCCCAGUCGCAACACGAGCGCGUUCUUCACUUUGGAUUUGGGUCGCUUCGUUGGAACUGUGUACGUGGACGACUUCACCUUCACGGCCAGGUCGGUUGACAGUUGGCCUCGGUUGGUUGGUUGAUUGGUCUGUUUAUUCUGGUUUUGUUGGUUGGUUGUUGUCUCGCUCUUCCUUCGCUUUCCUCUUUGCCCUGCUUCCCUAUCGUACAUGUUAAACGCUAGCUAACCUACAUCUUUACCAGGUAGCUCAAGACCUGGCAUCACCCUCACAAUUUGCCCUUUGCGAAUUUCCUUUAGUAAGAUCAUCUUCCUGUCGUUUCGUGCAUCUACCCCCGUCUCCGCUGCCUGUUACCUCAUAACCCGACUUUCCACCUUGUCUAAGUGGGGCCCUAUAACCCGAACCCUCCCCCGUCCCCACCUGCCAUGCCCCCUGUCUAAAGGUCGAACUAUAACCCGGAAGAGGUGACUUAUGUGAGCUCAGCGGCCAUUGCCGACCGGAUCAACGCACACCGCAAGGGCAAUCUCACGUUUAACUUUGUAAACGGUACCACCGGCCAGCCCAUAACUCAGGUACGUGGGUCGGUCUGUGGGGAGCUGGGUGGUGUUGGUAAUGAUAGUUUAUGGGUGGGGGGAAGUGUAUGCGUGCAUGAAUGCAUGAAUGCAUGCGUGCAUGAAUGCGUGAAUGCAUGAAUGCAUGUAUGCACGCUCAACGUAUACCUGUGCACUUCACUUGACUCUCAUUGGCUCAAUGGGUGCGUAUGUGGCUGCUGACUCUGGGCGCUAUGUACCCCAUGAGACCUCCUCACUCCAUGUAUGUGCACACUAGCUAACAGAAUCGUAACAUCCCGUAUCACACACGUUACCAACCCCAUUUUUAACCCGUAUUAUUCCCGUACAAUUUACUUCAAAGCAGCCUGUGACUCGAUUGGAAGUUCGCCUGGCUCGCCACGACUUCCCAUUUGGAACGGCGAUGGAGUGGGAGAGUGUCCCUACGGAGAAGCGGAGCUGGUAUCUAGAGAGGGCCAAGUACCACUUCAACGCCCUCGUCCCGGAGUGGUCGUUCAAGUGGCCGGUGAGGAAGUGCUGAGGAGGGGCGUUGGGGGGCGGUGGCGGGGUUGGAGGGAGUGAAGGGGAGCCUGAGUGGGCAUUUGAUGUCAGCCAAAUGUCCAUUACGCGCGAUACGCGCAAUACCCACGUGUAACAAAGUAGCUAACUAACUAAGCAACAGGUUGGUUAUUGUUGUGGUCGCCUGAUGGUCUCCUUUCACCAGCUCCUUCACCAACAUUAUUUCCCCAUCUUCCCGGGCCAUGCCUUGCCUGUGCGAUACUCCAAACUGCUGACCUCACUCACCCUGCCUCUUCCCGCUUGGUUUUCCCGCUCCCUUUCGCACCCUGGGGACACGCGCAUGAAACACACACACACACGCGCGCGCUCAUGCAUCUUCUGACAGUCUGUGGAGCCCUCUAAGAACAACACGGCCUAUCGGUACGGCAAACUGAUGUCCGACCACGUGCAGUUUGCGGCUGACAAUGACUUCGUGAUGGCACGGGGUCACACUUUGGAGGUGCGCGAUGACGGAUGGCCGGGAGGGGAACUGGCCGGGGGUCGUGUGUGUAUGUAUGUCGUGUCGAGGCGUAUGUAUGUGCGUGUGUCGCGACGGGGUUCGCCUUUGGGAUUGUAAUUUGCGCCAAUGUAUGUCAGGCCAUUGUGUUCCCUUGAGUUUUGGUUAUCUCCCUUUCCAUAUCCCUUUCUCCAUUCCCCCCUUUCUCCCCACCCCUAACCCCCUCAGUGGCUCAUUCCGAGCCCGAGCUUUGGCGACCACUGGUCUCGUCUAGAUGGGUGUGAUGCCUACCGCACCUAUUUGGAGACACGCAUCAGGCGGGAGGUCACGAACUUCAAGUAAGUCGUGUAGAAGUGUAGUAGUGGCGACGUGGAAUGCGAGUCAGCGCGGAAUGCGCGUCGGUGUCCGGUUUGUGUAGACGGCUGCCGCUGCUGAAAUGGCUCAGCAACAGAUGAUGAAACGACGAGGCUUUUGUGUUUCUCCUCCAGUCAUCCUUCGGUGGUUCAUGCGGAUGAUGCGGUAUGUAUGUCUUCUCACACCCGCCCUCUCUGUCCUCGUCCGAAGUACCCCGGCUCCCAGUUCCCACCAGCGGUCGAGCGUCUUGCCGUGCCGUCGCGAAACGUUUGAGCCUUAACCCGUUUGUACCUUCUGUUCGUGCGUAUGUUUACUUGUUUGCUUGUUGCUGAACUUGCAGGGGCAAGUUCAACUCGUACGACGUCUUCAAUGAGAUUAGUAAGUGCCACCAUGAUGCGCGCGUGCGUGCGUGUGUGUUUUACAGCUUGACGGAGCGUGUAUUGCUUGUAUUUAUGUUGUUACAGGGUGGUAUAGCUUCACCAGCGACCCCCUGCUUGUAUGUAUGGCUGAUGCAUCCAAUUGCAUGUACGCAUGCAUACUUGCAAUUACACUGCACUUCACCGCACUGUACUGCAACUGUACUGCAGCCCCUUGGCACGCUGUGAUGGGUGGACGCAUGAGACGGGUGUUCUUCCAAACACGCGUUAGGUUCGGCCCUCACCCCGGUCAUCACCGUCUCUAUCUGUUUUGUUAUCCGUUUGUCUGUCCUUAUGUCUGUCUAUCCACAUCCAUCGGGCCACGUUUCACGACCGCAGUUCACGACCGCGACUUUGUGGAGAACUGCCCGGGCAUGUGGCCGGCCAUUUUGUACGACGGUUUCCGUUGGGCCCAUGAGGCUGAUCCGACUGCUCGGUUGUGUUUGAACGACUAUGGACUCAUUACUGGGGAUGACUGGCAGGUGGGUGUGACCUGUGCCGUGAAUGAUGUAAUUUUUUCUGUGUGGGAGUAGGCCCCUAAAGCGGUGAGAUGGUGGAUGUUGUUGGUCGGGGGGUUGAGGUCUGCGGCAUGGAUUCUUCUUCAUGUUCGUGUGCUGUGUAAUUACGCGGCACCUAGAGUGCGGGAUCAACCUGGGCCUGUGCGCCAACUACCUGAUGUGCAGAUGUGCAGAUGUGUGUGUGUGUGUGUGUGUGUGUGUGUUUCACUUGAUGUCUCUGACGCCCUAGAAUCCCGCUCGUGUGUCGAUGUCGUUGCGCUGACGUUUGGUGUCCACCAUGUACAGUCACCCCCAAAACCUCUCCUGCGUACACACAUACAUACGUACAUACAUGCAGGCGAUGAUCACGUACGUGUCCGGCAUGUUGCAACAAGGUGUCCCCAUCAACUGCAUCGGAGUCCAGGUGCGUGUGAGCACGUGUGGGAUGUGCACCAUGGGUGAGUGCCACCUAGGGCUUUAGGUUUUAAGUUUUAGGUUUUAGGUUUUAGGUUUUAGGUUCCCGAGGUGAUCUGAAAGGGUCAAGGGCGCAGACCGCUCAACUCGCACACAAGUGUGAGGGAAUGGAAUCCUCUGCCCACAUCAUCAUCUCGGCUGACGUGCACGGUAUUCGUAAUACAGCGUUUUGCUCCUCACCCACCUGCAAAACCUUAUGUGCCGUACAGCCUGGCCUGGCCGCCUAGUCCGGGUCCCGACUUGAGACUGUACAAGCAACUAGUAAUUCGGACAUCAGCGGAUUCAUCACACAGUGCCCAUGUCCAAAGUAGUCAUCAGUUAAUCCAUCAUUUGCAUCUUUUGCCGCGUGUAGCUACCACGUACUUGCGUAAGUCCGUAUCCCACCAAGCCCACAUGGCACAUCCUAGCCCCAACUUGCCAUAUGCGACCAUGCAAGCAAUUUUGUCCCUUCCUCCCCGUCCUAGAAAUCCGCCCAUCGUUUGGGGGACCCCGCCGCUUAUUACCUGGCUUCGUUCGCGGCUUCUGCGGCGCUCCCGCGUUGCCUUCUGUCCAUUCAUCCGUCGCCUGCCGCACCCCAUCACCCACGUCUUGUCCCUUCGUACCCUUCGUACCCUUCGUACCCUUCGUACCCUACGUACCCUACGUACCCUUCGUACCCUACGUACCCUACGUACCCUUCGUACCCUUCGUACCCUACGUACCCUACGUACCCUUCGUACCCUACGUACCCUACGUACCCUACGUACCCUACGUACCCUUCGUACCCUUCGUACCCUUCGUACCCUUCGUACCCUUCGUACCCUUCGUACCCUUCGUACCCUACGUACCCUACGUACCCUGCCUCUGUCUAAUUGGACCUCGCAGGCCUACGUCCCCUUAACCAACCGGCCGAGCACCGCUUACAUGCGUACGAGGCUGGAGGCACUUGCGGGCCUGGGUCUCGACAUUGUCAUUACGGAGUUUAAUUUUUGGACUUCUUGGGCCUCGAGCGGCAACCCUGUGUGGGAGGGCACAGAUGCGGAGCAUGCGGCGUUGUACGAGGAAUACGUGCCGUUCUGGUUCUCGGUGCCGUACAUCAAGGGCAUUAUGAUGUGGAACUUUUGGGACGGUUCGAACUGGAUUACCAACGGCGGCAUUUAUCGCCUAGAUGGCACCCCCAAGGCCUCUGCGCUUGCCGUUGGUGAGUUAUAUGUUUCAGUUUCUUUUUCUGUUUUUUCCAGAACUGAAUUGAAAUUGCAUGCAGUUGCUGAAGCAAGCUUUUGACUGCAUUGUUUCGCAUCGUCAGGAUUCGCAUGUCCAAUUGUGCACAUCUCGAUAUCGAUUCUGACCCCAUGCCGCCCCAUCCAACCGAAUAAAACCAAAUAAAUGUUAACUAACACAGGUGACAUGUGGAACAACCGCUGGCGUACGAACGUGGCCCUCUCCAACGUGGUCUUACCCAACGGCCAAGCAACCAUCAAUGGCUUUUACGGCAAGUACAACUACACGCUUGAGCUUGAUGGCCGAGUGUUUUCCGGAGUGAUGGACUUCCCCAAGAACGCGGGCGCCCAAACGGUCACCAUUUCAUUGGCGUAAAAAGCAGGAACUGAACAGACCAUUUAAUGUACAUGCAGUGAUAUGCGAGUCAUGAUGAAUGGAAUAAUCGGAUUGUGGUUUUGGGGGGGGGGGGCCCACGUAUAUACAAUUCUUUUCCCGACAAAGCUCGGCAUUCCUUUCUUUUCUUUCUUUCCAAUAAAUAUCAGCCAUGCCAUUCCGGUCCCGAUGGCAUGCAAAUAGAACAAUAAUGUCGUCAACGGAUCCUACACGUACAUAUAUUCGGGAGUACAGGAGCCGUUGAAUGCUUGCAUUCAGUAUUUACAGCAGUAUGAGUAGAUACCCUAUUUGAUAGGUAUGCAUAGGGGUGUGUGUGUGCGUGUGCGUGUGCGUGUGCGUGUGCGUGUGCGUGUGCGUGUGCGUGUGCGUGCGUGUGUGUGUGUGUGUGUGUGUGUGUAUGUACAUACACAUAACGUGUGUGAGCGACAUUGCGUGGCAAUCUUAUUUAUGGUCCUCCCCAGGCUUGGAAAUCUUUGUUAUUAUCCCUAUUUUGUGUCCCUUCUUGCUUGUUACAGCCAAAAGCUAUGUGUCUAUGCGUGCGUCCGCUGCAUAUCACCAAUAAACUCCUAACAGGGUUAGUAUGUACGGCGAGCAGCUUUAUGCGAUGCAAUUUGUCGGUUUCGGCUGCCGAUUAUUUCCAUGCCAACCAUUAUUCGUAUUCUAUCGUACUAGCUAGUGACAUUGCUCAAUUUAGUUUGCCGGUCGCUGGCCUUGUGUUCUUUCAAUAAAUUGUUUGGAGCGGUUGCGGUUUGCUGUACAUAUGUGGACAAGAUUAUUCUAUCGUUUCCUUUCCUUCCUCCUGCUGCGGCUGCGUGCGGGUACCUCCACGCGUAUUCGUUGUUAUCAUGCAUGUAACGAAGUGUACGAAUGGUGCUGCUGCUGUCUUUCGUACUGUAUGUGGGCGUUACAACGGGCAUAACGUCCCGCCUCGUCAUCGUACAUACGUCAAUAAGGUAGAGAUUCGUAACCGGUGAUUGCCGUAUCUCACCGUUAGAUAUUAGUUGUUUGCAGAGGCUGACGUGAUCUAACUAUGGAAAACCCUACCAGCCACCCACUACCUCAACUCCCAGCUAUCCCGUAUUCUCGGCUGGGUAUGGAGGCCAUAUAUGUACCGUUCUGCGGGUUACCUGCGCCCGAUUGGUAAGUGCUAGAUAGACCUGUUUUGUCACAUCCCAAGAUGGAAGAGUACCUCUAGCUGGGUGGCAAGCUGGGUGGCUGGGUUGAGGUAUGUAACCCCCCUAUUCCUAUCCUGGCGUCGAGCAGUUUUGGAAUCGGUGGUUACUCUCGCUUUUGGGCUGGUCACACCCACACUACGGCGAUGUAAGCGGAAAAGUCUCAGGGUUUGCCACCUGAACCCUUUUUAUCAUGAUUACAGAAUAUUCUGAGAUGUGCACCAGCUCUUGCACAUACAGGCUUUGCAUGGCCACCAGAUAGAACUGGUGAUGAUGAAUCGCCACCAGCCGCACGCAGCCAGCUGGGUACAUAAAAGCACAACGGAAAGGCACGAACGACAGAACGAACUGCAAGAUGACGGACGACAAUAUAAAGGAAGAUUCGGCAUGUUGAUUAUUGGCAAACCACUGCUCUGCAAGGGUGCGAAGCUGCAAGCCAGGGGGCCCCUGAUUUUGAACCAAUAGGAGGGAUGGCAAGUACGGUUGGAUUGAGUUGGUAGGGUGGUCGCCAGGAUUGGGAUAGAUCAACCGGGGAUUGAGAUAGACUGACGGGGGGAUUGAGAUUGACUGUGGAGGGAUUGAGAUUGAGACCGAGGUGGAUUGAGAUCGGGUUACCGUUGGAUUGAGAGUGUAGUACCGUUGGAUUGAGAUAGACGCUACCGUUGGAUUGAGAUUGCCUUGGGCCUGGAUUGGGAUUGAUACCCCGGAGGAUAGGGAUAGAAAGGCUGUAAGGCUGUACAUAUGCUUGUGUUACCCGCUGCACUCCUUUACCACGUCGGUGGUGCCGUUAUCUAACCAAAAACGGUAUCCGUGACAUCUGUGACGCAACCUUUCCUUGACUGUUACACGUCGCACAGCUUUCGCAACGUUCGCUUAACAUGCUUGGCACCAAGCGCUCUGUCCCACCGUAUGCAUGCUCGCGUAUGCAUGCUCGGAAACCAUGCAGAAGAAGAACAACAGCCUGCCGUCCGCUUGACAUCCCGUCAUAUGUACAUAACACUAACUUGCACACCCAUAAAAUGUCCAAUGGGACUGCUUCCACAGGCUGCCGCAAAUAAUCAUAACAAAACACCUAUCUUCCUGUACAUGCUCCUGUACACGCACGCUCUGAAACUAGCCCAUGAGUGUCGUACACACCACGGGGAUCCUCUGUACCGACACAAGUGCGCUCUUCUAUUGGGUANNNNNNNNNNNNNNNNNNNNNNNNNNNNNNNNNNNNNNNNNNNNNNNNNNNNNNNNNNNNNNNNNNNNNNNNNNNNNNNNNNNNNNNNNNNNNNNNNNNNNNNNNNNNNNNNNNNNNNNNNNNNNNNNNNNNNNNNNNNNNNNNNNNNNNNNNNNNNNNNNNNNNNNNNNNNGGAAGCCUUUCCGCGUUAAAGACCGGGUCGUGAAAGGCUGGUUCGUCACAAGCGCUGACGCGGGCACACGGAGAGGUUUCGCCAUGAGGCCAGCUUUGUCUAGUGCAGCAUUGAAGACUGCCUCCGGGCUCCCUUCGGCUGUGGAACUGGUUAUCCAUCGAGUCCGACAACAGCCGAGAGCACACGAUACACGUGCUACAGGCGGAAUAUGUACCAAUAUUGAUAGGUGCGAGCAGCAGCAUGUUGUCAAAGGGUGAUGCCGUCUGCAAGCUAAGCAAGGCACGGGCCUGUCGAUGGUGAGGGCCAUUGGCUCACACGUACGAGUCGGCACAAACAGCCUUAAAAGCCAAACGGUGUAGUAUCUUAGGUGUCAUAGUUCGCGAUGAUUAUUGUACGCUUGCGAUUGGUAAGUGCUACGCAGUCUACUUGAAUUCCUUAAGGGAGGGAUCAAACAUGGUCUUAGUAUGGUUCACAUAAAAACCACAUGGUCGUAUGAAUGGAUUGAAUGUGGCAACAGCAAUCUAGGAAUAUUGUUACUGUCUGCUUUUCGCAAAGGCCGCCUUAGUUUGGUAUCGGGGUGCCGUACGUUUAAUUUACAAGGAGCUGCAUGCAAGGAACUGCUUUGCGGGUUCUCCUCUGAUAGACUCUCUACGUACCCCAACUCAAUCUCAAUCCCUCCACAGUCAAUCUCAAUCCCCCCGUCAGUCUAUCUCAAUCCCCGGUUGAUCUAUCCCAAUCCUGGCGACCACCCUACCAACUCAAUCCAACCGUACUUGCCAUCCCUCCUUAUAGUCUCGGGACUGCAUCUUCAUCGUGGCCGUUAGCCCUUGACACAGCGGUAACAGGCGCGACAACAUCGGCCAUGCCACUCUCGUCCUCACUAUCACUCUGUGCGACAGUGCUGGCUGUUCCCACCUCCUGGAUGCACGACACCACGAGCUCAGCAGUCAUGCGCCGUCCCUCCUCGUUAUGAUACCUUAAGACACGUUCCCAGGCCAGCCUUGCCACGCCUGGUUCGCAUCGUGUCAAUGGCCGGACCAGCCGUUCAUACUGUGGCACAGGCAUGGAAGGUGGCAAAGACCGGAUGAAACGAGCAGCCGCCACCCAUGCCCUCGCUUGUCGGUACCCAAACCCCAGCGACUUCCUCUCAAGAAUAUACGCGCGGAAUGACUUGUACCCUUCCGCCUCAAACAGAUGCUGCUCGGCGAUAUCCAGCAGCGCACAGCUGGCUUCCACAAAAAACCCACCAGCGGCCAUGGUGACACGUGCCUCAGCUUCCCCGAGGGUCCGUGCACGCGCAACAGCGUACGGUGCUCUGCACAUAGCCAACAUAUAGUCGUGUAAUGGCACACAACGUCAUUCAUGAAUCGGAGCAAAUGCAAAGAAGUAAUGAAAUGGCUAAUGAAUUGAAAGCAGUCAGUCCUCACACAACUAGACAGUGACCUCGUAGGCGUACUGCGCAUGUGGCUCUUUAUCCGUUCCCCUGCAGCCGAACUUAUAGCACGUCAUCCCGCCAACCUUAUUAAUAUGGACUUUAGCGAUGGCCCUGUAACAAUGGCAGCACGUGGUCAGUAGGUGGUCUUCCAAGCAAACCGGACAUUGGUUCCAGUGCCAAAGCUUGUCCGCACCCUUGCAGACCUCACCGGACCCCAUUCGCGUGUACACAAAGGUGUCCUCGCUGGGUGAGGCCACACUUGAUCCUGGUCCCCGUGGCAGGUCUUCAUACCUCCCGGGAGACAUGCCGUGCUCCUCCGGCUCAGCCUCUACACCCGCAUCGUUGCCAUCACCCUCCCAGGGGUCGUCAAUGUCGAUGCCGGCUGCACCCGACGAGCCCAUAGCGCCAUAUGCAGAGGCUCCAGAACCCAGUCGCUGCCGUUGUUCGUCCUGUUGGUGGUAGGCAGGGAAAGUGUCGUCCAGCAACUGCUCCUGUGGUGUUGACUGCCGCCACGGCAGCGGCGUUGGCUUGUGCUGUGGCUGCUGUAUGGGAUACCGCCACUGCUGCUGAAGCUGUCCCUCCAUGCUGUCUCCACCACGUUGCUGUGCCUGCUGGUGUCGCUGGAGCCCCCGGUACUGCGGCCGUGGUCGCUGCUGUUGCUGCUGCAGCAGCCCCGUAUGCUUCCGUCCAGCACCCAUUUGGUCCGGCAGCGGCGCCUCAUAGUCGCCACCAGCCGGUCCGUACACCCCACUACCACCGUGAGCUGAAGCUGCACCCCUCUGCAACCCGGCGACACCGGCACCCCUGGGCAGGCACACACCGCGGUUCAUGCCCGGCGGCAGGCCGUGGGUCCGCAAAUGUGGCAGCGGAGGCAGUGGAGGGGUCGUGCGGUCAGGAUGAACAUGGGCGGCUGUGGCAGUGGGAGCGCGCUGAUACACAUCCGGCGCGUCUGGUUGCAUGGCGGGGGCGCCAGCAACAGGCACUCGCUCCGCCUUCUUGACGAGAAAAGGAUCGAGUCGCACAAACCCAAAUUGGACUUGAGGCUGCUUGUUAAAGGUCUCGGGCCGCUGCCGUGCUCGCAAGGUUAUCAUGGCGAGGUUAGCCUUGUGGGUGUCGGUCUUCAGGUGGUUUCGUAAAUUGGCGGUUGCUGACGACACCGAAGCUAUCGGCCUAUAGCCACCUGCAGUCGACGCGAACCUGGCAUCAGCCACAUCGGCCGGGACGUCAGGCCCCCGUGCUCGCUUCUUGUCUCGUCCUUUGCCACUACCACCACUUGAUGUACCAGCGGCGGCAGGCCCCACCUCCGCCAGUUCCAUCGACCGUGCUCGCCUCUUGCCCAGCAUUUUAUCACUACCGCCAACAGCCACGCCAGCCCCCGCCCCCGCACUCGCAUCGGCCUCCGCUGAGUACCAACCACUCGCCGCACUUGACAGCUUGCGGGGAAAAGGGUUGGGUGGUGGCACGGGUGGCAGUACGCCUAGGUUACAGGCCUCGCACCAGAUGAGCCCCGGUACCGCCUGGUCGCUGGACCCGCCUGCCUCUGCUGCAUACACGAUGGAUCCAUCCUUGUUGGCAUUGACGGAGAUGACACUGAAUACACGCUGGUCCAGCGGCGGUGGCUCGUCAGCAUUGACAGGGUACUUGUGCACCAGCGCCAAGUUCACGCAAUUCUCCCCGCCGUUCAUCGUUUGGUCAAGGCCCUCCUGAGGGUCGAGGAAAAGAAACUCACUACAGUCAGAAGAUACAGCGAAAGGCAGCAAGCAUGACCAAGUAACUGUGUGCCGAACAAGGAAUCUCUUGCCCCCCAAAAGCAUGCGCUCCGUUGUGGAAGUACUGCUGAGCUCACACGAGUGUACUCACCGCGAUCCGCCUCGCCAUGUCCUCGCUCGACCCGCGGCGAGCAGUCGAGGGUACAGGAGCUGUCGGACCAGCAGGCGCGGCCCAUUCCGCAAGGGCCAGCUUAACUGCGUCGUUGCACUUAACUUUUCCAAGGGCAACGAGGGCCGCUUGUCCAGCUGGGCAGCUUAUCCCUCCUUCAAAAUGCUCCUUAUGGUGCUUUCCUGUGGCAUGGAUAAUCAACCCUUUCAGUGUUAUCGAUGUGCGUCCGUUUCGGAGAUCCGGUCAUUCAUGGCCUGCCUCGAUUGUUUGAACGCGAUGUAAUAAGCGGUCUGAAACAUAUAUCAAAAUGUGAAUCACUAAGUUGCACAAUCUCCCGGAACAACUGGACACGACAACCGCGACCCUGCGCAACAACCUACUUCCGACACUCCGAGCGAUGUCCGCUGCGGACUGAAGCCCAUGCUCCAUGAGAGAAUCUAUGAAAGCCUUGUCCCUCCCCGAAGGCUCCAGUUCCAUGCCUCCACCGCUCCGCGGCCGGCAUAGAUGCACAGCCAGCGGCCAAUCGAACUGCUGCUCCACGAGCGAUUCUACCUACGGGUACAGAAAGGACAUACGUUAAGGUUACUUCCUCAACUCGAAGCAAGGUAAACACUUCCAUUCCUCGGUAGCCAUUUUGUCAUUGUGAGCCAGUGGCUCACAAGUGCUGUCAGUCGCGCCAACCUACCUGCUCUGACCAGGAUGAAACCAUAGCUUUUCCUCGUGAAUGUGACGUGACACCCUCGUCGUCGCCGGUGUCCAAGGACGGUUCGGAAAGUCCGGAAGGGUCAGACAUCCUCAGAACACGAGAGUCAGUUUCAUUAGACAAACAAAAGUUAUGUAACCCGUUUCAGUUGGGGUACGUAGAGAGUCUAUCAGAGGAGAACCCGCAAAGCAGUUCCUUGCAUGCAGCUCCUUGUAAAUUAAACGUACGGCACCCCGAUACCAAACUAAGGCGGCCUUUGCGAAAAGCAGACAGUAACAAUAUUCCUAGAUUGCUGUUGCCACAUUCAAUCCAUUCAUACGACCAUGUGGUUUUUAUGUGAACCAUACUAAGACCAUGUUUGAUCCCGUGCCUUGCUUAGCUUGCAGACGGCAUCACCCUUUGACAACAUGCUGCUGCUCGCACCUAUCAAUAUAACCAAUCCCAAUGCGUGAGCUACGCCAAAACGUGGCGACAUCCCGCCAGGACAAGAUCAAAUCUACAAGUUUAUGGGUCAGGGGUCAGCGCCGGCGUCGUAAUUCGCUCCAAGUGAAGCUCUGCCCGCUGCAAGCGCGGCACCGGCACAAAUAACUUUGCUCAGACGCGAUGCCCAAAGCAUAGCCCGGGCGCCGUUGACUCUAUUUACUAAUUAGUGCGCAAGCACCAGCCCUGGAAAAGUGCUGCAGCUGCGGUAUGGUGAUUUCCAGGGUAGGGGAAAUGGGUCGCCGUUAGCUCACUGGCUCUGAUGUCAUGUGCUAGUGAGCAUCCUCGCGCUUAGGGUUUCCGGGCGUCGGUCCUGCUUCGGGUGAACCCUCUUCGGUCAAGGAGUGAGCGACUCACGUGGUAGAAUAGUGUGGCUGGAGUUGUAUUUUCUCAUCAUUUUUCACUUUUAGGUCCAUUCGAGCAAGCCCUGAGCAAACUCCGUUAUUCGAACCCGCAUGGUGCAGCAUGGUAAAGCCGUUCAGCAGAGCCCGAUGCAUCAUCCGAGGGUGUCAUAUGUUCGAAACAUUUCUUCAUGCGGCCGGCAAGCUGACAGUUCCUGGCGAGCCGGGUCUUCGAGUUUGCCGGCCGUGGGGCGGUCCAACCCCCACAUGACGCUUUUCACAACCACCACUGACGCAAGAGCAAAACCAUCAUCCUUGUUUCCUUGCUAUCCUUGUCAGGCCCUAUAAAACCUGAAAACUGGUUUACCAUGCUUCGUGACAGUAGUUACACUUAAGCUUGGCCCUUCGAGCUGUGACGCACCUGCCAGCGCGUUCCAUCGCCUGGCCACGCAGGACGGACGAGCGGGUAUUGUGAGAGGGUGCACAUUUAAAUGGUGUAAUCUUAUCUAAUGUCUUAAGACAUUUCUACGUUUUGAGUUAGGUCUUUAUUAAAGCGCGCCAUCUGUGGUUGCAACCACUCUUUCGAGCCUAUAAUUGCGGAAACAUAUUGCCGGAAAUCCUCAGCAUCAUCGCAUAGGCGCGUUUUUUACAGUAAAGGCUUCUCUUUAAAUCCCAAGCAUUUCUGGCCCAUCGGAGAUUUACGGAGCGCUCAAAAGCUAUGACGGGUUCACAUGAGCCUCCGGAGUUAGGGCAGCGCAGGGUCAUUGACUUACGAAGCGACACGGUAACAAAGCCCACACCUAAGAUGCUUCAGGCAAUGAUGAACGCAGAAGUGGGCGACGAUGUGUGGGGCGAUGACCCAACCGUCAACGAGCUGCAGGUUCGACGGCCUCUUUUUCCUUCAUUACCCAAACAUUCCAAAACAACUUUACUCACUUCCAGGUCCUCAGAAUCAAAGCAGCAGGGAAGCGCCCGGCUUGUCUGUCGUUUGUCUAGGACCCAGCGGUUUUUUUGUGCGCACGCAUGGCCUUCACGCUGCGCAUCCUGCCUUCUCUCCUUUCUCCUGGGACUCUUCUCCAAUCCUCCCACCGCUCCUUGGGAACCUCUUCCCUUGACCGGCCUUUCCCUCUGUUGACGUGCUGCGUUGCGUAUCACAUAUGCCUUGCGCACUUCGCCCCCUCCCCUCCCACCUGCAUAUAAUCCUUUGUUUCUUGCAUAUAAUUAUUUCCCCCCGCGUCGUACCUCCCUUUCCCCCUCACAAACGUUUCUUCCCGCAGGACUUCGCAGCUCAGAUGUUUGGCAAGGAAGCCGGCCUGUUUUGCCCCUCCGGUACUAUGACUAACCAAAUCGCAAUUAAGGUAUGGGCCGAGCGAAAACCGUGGAGUAGCGUGCGAAGGUAUGCAGGUAGGUGCAUAGAUAUGUAGGUAUGUAAUAGGUAUGUAUGUAUGUAUGUAGGUACGUCUUGAGGAAGGACAUUUUCACUCAGGCGUGAUGCUGUUCUCGUUGCGUGCUACUGCUGAGGCACUGCCCCCACUACUGCUGCUACCGCUCCCGCUGCUGCCGACCAGGUUCACACGCAUCCGGGGGACGAGCUGUUGUGUGCGGAUAACGCCCAUAUCUACUUGUACGAGGGGGGGGGCAUAGCUUUCAACUCUGGUAGGUUCGGGGGGGGGAGGGGGGGGGUGCAGCCGGGGGUGAGAGCCCGGUGUGUGUGUGUGUGUUUGGUGACUGCGGCAGUGGCAAUGCCGGUGUGCCGAAAUGGAAUAAACUCGGUGCUCGCAUCCCGGCGUGGCAUCUGCCCCAGGACUUGUCCAUAUUCUCCCACCCACCCACCCGCCCACCCGCCCACUAGGGUGGUUUCGCCACGUGUGAAUCCAAAAUUAUAGAGAAUCCGGGGUGGGGUGGGGUGGGGUGGGGGGAAAGAGAGCCCUAGUGUGCAAAACCCCGGGCCGUGGCCACACUACCGCUCGCCAGCUCACCCCUCACCCGCAAUCGGGGGAUGGUGAAACUUCCGUACACAUAGGUGGUUGCUGGCAAGUUCCGGAGUACGACUUCACAAGACAUACCUCCGACCCGCUUUUUUUGUUGACCGCCUCACUAAUUUAAUAAUUUCCAACCUCCCCCCCACACCCGCCUCCGCAUACCCCACCCUUGUUUACCAACAACCCACGAAAGGUGUCCAGCCCAAGCUGUUGCCUAGCAAUCGAGGCCGCAUCUCUGCGGAGCAAAUUGUGCAGGCGAUAAACAUGGUGGGUUGACUGUUGGUUGACGGAAGGAAGGAAACAGGCUGAGGUUUGGUUGCGCAUGACUAGCUCAGCGUGGAUGUGUGUGUGCGUGUGUGUGGGGGGGGGGGAGAAGAGAAAUGUGUUUCCCUGGGCUGAAGUGCGGCCGCUGCCGCCGCCAGUAACAUAUAUUGGAUUUUGGUUGCUUCCAAUCCGCCGCCGCAGAUUACGUGUCAUGCCGUACAGUGUAACGCGUCGUCGUACAUCGUCUGCAGCAACUCCCGUCAUCACGCCACUCUGCGCACAUUUGCACUUCUAUAGAUAGUUGUCGGCGCUGUUGAAUGUCGUGCAACCUGUUAACGGUUACGGUUGCAUCUGUAAUGUAAUGUUACAGAGUGGGAUGCUUCUGGGCCGCUUUAUCACAUUGUCAGUUCUAGAUCAUUUAUCACCUUAUAGCACCAUCCACCACUACCACACUGUACUUCGCCAUACGAACUGUAAGUCCAAGGCGGCGGAUCCAGCCUUCAGGGACCCCUCCUCAUCCAUUCACCCGAACACCCGAAGAGACGGAGGGUUUGGCAAUCGCCACCAAUCCAGCGUGCGAAUCUGGUCCAUCAACUGUGACCUCAACUCCACAUCUCAGCAGCUAGCCAUAAUCUCGCGCUCCCGACUAAUUCGGGGGUCUCCCCAGGAAUCGAACCCAGGACCUUAAACCGCUAAUUGCAGUAGUGUCAACCCAGACCAGACCAGAGGUUGCAUCUGUUAUCGUUCGCAGCCAUGAUACCGCAACUGCUUUCACCGUUAACCACCUUAACCACCAACCAAUUACUGCCUACCCUGCCUGCCUCUCUCCCCUCCCCCCCCAAAGGAGGAUUCGCACUUCCCCACCACCCGGCUGGUGUGCCUGGAGAACACGUCUAACAAGGGCGGCGGGGCGUACUACAGCUUAGAUGAGUUGAGGGUACGGCAGUACGGCAAUUGCAGCACUUGGUUCAUCUCUUGAAAUAGUGUCGGAUGGCAGUCUCGGGCUCCCUUCCAAUCCUUGUUUUAUAUUUAGGACGAUUUCGCGGACAUACAGAAAUACAUACCUAGGUUUUCGGUGGGAGUGCGGGAGCAGCAGUAGCAGCAGCCGCUGCUCAUCUGAAAGUCAGUGGCUGCCUGUUGUGGAUUGAUAGCGUUAUCAUUCCACUUUCAUUCACCUGGGUAGUCCACGUGCGCUUUCAAAUCAUUCCUUUUAAGACUCUUAAAAUAUCAUCAUCUAUUACACACAUUUUAAACAUACCUGAUAGAUACGGUGCUUUUGGUUCCGUCUGUCUGUCUGUCUGUCUGUCCGUCCGUUUCCCUCGUGUGAAUCACCUGACGGAGUUCGGUUCAUCCGUACGAUGCCGUACAGGCAAUUUCGAAGGUGUGCAGUACACACGGGCUGCGCUUUCACCUUGACGGCGCGCGGAUCUUCAACGCGGCUGUAGAGGCGGGGUGAGUACCGAAUUGAGGUGGGCCCUUAGGGGAGUUGUAACUUAUCGGGGGGGGGUCUGGGGGGGGCGUAGCCCCCCCCAGCGCCCCACACUUAAGGAAUACAUUACGGCGACGCUAGCAACUUUGUUACUUAGGUCGGAAUAAAUUGAGACCCCCCCUAAAUGAAAAAAAAAUCACUGGGGCCCUAGCAUGUGCGGAACCUUGCCACCGCAUUUGGUGCCCGAAAGCUGCCGUGGAGAUGUGGCCCUGGCAAUGAGGGUCAAGGAGGAGGGAGAGGAACGGCGUUUCCUAAAAUCCCACCUUCUGUAGCAAUUACCGCCUACGUCCUAGUUGUUGCGUCGUACUGUCACAUGCCGUACAUAUGACGUUGUACGACCAUACAUAUGCGCACAUGGAAUCUACGUAUUUGCCAACUAUACAAGCGGAACCUAAUCCCCUUGCCGCCUCCGGUGCCCUGCCCUGCCUCGCCCUGUGCGCCCGGGCCCGUGGCACAAUUGUUCUUCCACAUUUUCCGACUGUCGUACUGCUGUCGUACUGUGCAGAAUGUGCUCCGUACAAACCUUUUGCUCUGGAUGCUGUGCUCGCAGGUACGGCCCUGCCGACGUUGGUCCUCUGUUCGACUCCAUAUCCGUUUGCUUGUCGAAGGGCCUCGGCUGCCCGGUCGGGUCGCUGCUGUUGGGGAGUAGGGACUUCAUUCGUCGCGCCCACCGGUAGGCAGUGAGGGGUGACGGGGAGGGGUGACGGGGAGGGGUGACGGGGAGGGGUGACGGGGAGGGGUGACGAGGAGGGGUGACGGGGAGGGGUGACGGGGAAUGGGGCACGCGGAUCUGCAGAUACUUGUGGUACGUACGGCACCCGCGAGUGAUUCGUACGGUCGUAUUACGUCCGGUCUGACAUGAAUGCAUCGGUGAGACAGACAGAAGAGGGAAGAGAGGAAUAAAUGAUGAAAGUAAAUUGGCGGCGAUGAACUGGGUGGUGUAUGGGUACGGAAAAGGCCGAGCCCUUGGUGUGUGCUGUGGAUUGAUUUAGUGCUCUGAGGCCGUUCUGGGGGGAAAUGGUGGUGGUGGUGGUGGCGAUGCUGUGAGGUGGUGUUUGUGGGUGCUGGAGCGGGCAGUAGGAUGAAGGGGUGCGGGUGUGUGACACAGCUUCAUGUCGAGGGUUUGUGACGUAAUAGUGACAGGCAGGUGCACUCCCAUGUCCUCUCCCCCCUCCCCCCUCCCCCCUCCCCCCCAGGGUUCGCAAGGUGCUGGGCGGCGGUAUGCGGCAGGCGGGCUUCCUGGCGGCUGCGGGCUUGUACGCGCUCAAGAACAAUAUUGACAGGUAGGUGGGCGUUGGUCGUUUUUCGGGUGGCAGUUGACAACGACUGAGGAAACUGGCAAGGCGGUAACGUUGCGCGUUGACCUGAUGUUUCUCCUUGGGCUCCCGCUAUAUGUUUAUAAAAGCUCAUACGAAUACACGUGUUUUACAUGUGUUUCAUGUGCAUACACACGGCCCCCUCACUAACCCGGUCUUCGCGGACCAGUAGUUACCGUGCGAAUACACACGUGCCGUACACGCACACAUAGACGUACUAUUUUUACACCUCCAUUUCACAUUUAAAUCGUUAAUGUCGUACUCCUCUCGCAGGCUGCGUGAUGACCACGCUCGUGCACGGCGGCUGGGCGCCACGUUGGACGGACUGCCGUACGUGUCGUAUUUGGCACCGGUUGACACCAACAUCGUCAUCUUCCACGUCGCGGCGGGUUGGGACGCGCGGGUAUGUAUGUAUGUGUGUGUGUGUCGGCUGCCCCGGGGUGCGCGUCCCCAGGGGGGGGGCGCGCCGGGCCUCGUGUGCGCGAUAUGCGGUGCUUGGAAAUCCUUAGGAUUGUUGUUUGGUUGGGUCUUCUGUUGGGUCUUCACCCCUACCUCACCUCUACCUCACCACCCCACCCCACCCCACCCCACCCCACCCCCCUUUCAGGCCCUCGUGGAGUGGUUCCAGGCUCGAGGUGUGUUGCUGAUCACCAUGGGGCGGGCGGUGCUGCGACUGGUGACCCACCUGGGGGUGGACGACGAGGACGUGGACCGCGUGUGUGAGCUGCUCAAGGAGGCGGCGAGGGGGGGGAGGGGGGGAGCGGAGGCGGCGGAGGCUAGUACGGCGGCGGGGGCGGUGAAGGUGAAUGUGGAGGAGGCGGGGGAGGGGGUGGGGGAGGGGAUGGGGGAGGGCAAAGGUGGGGUGGCGGAGUUGAAUGGUGUUGGUGGUGACGGGGCGUGUGUGGGCGGUAUCGACCCUGCGGAGGGGGAGGAGUAGGAGGAGCGGGGGAGGACUGGAGCGACCACGACGGGGCCCGAGGGGAGGCCGCAAUGGUGUUGAUGGUUGUGGUGGUCGUGUGGUAGACAGGCCGCCCAGGAAGAUGUCGGUUACGGUUAUCAGUUAGCUGUUGCUGGUGUUCGUUUGCACCCCAUUUGCAAGCUCCCCAUUUGUUAUGUUUCUGCUCUGCUUGGAUAUUAUGUAGAAUAUUCGACGUGUGUAUAUGUAUGUACGUACGUAUGUAUGUAUGUAUGUAUCUUCCGAUUUUUGCCCCCGGUGUGAAAAAGUCGAGGCGGAGGAGGGGGAGAGAGAGAGACUGUGUGGAGUGUGUCUUUCACUUCGCAAUCCAUUUGGUGGUGCUGUUGGGCUUUGUUGUUGGUUAUUGCUGUUGGCGCAUUCUGUUAUCGUGGCAGUUGUAUCGGUUGUUGCUGCUGUACCGGCCAUAUGUAUGUCUGGCUGUAUGUACGACCCUUCUGUGUGUACGUAUGUAUGUAUGUGUGAACAGGUGAUCAUGAGGUGUCAGCCCCAGCUGCCAGAUGUCACCACACGCAACAGGGGAAUCCUGGUGUAUUACUAAUACCGUGCAGUGCCAAAGGAGGUUUUGUACAUUAUGCCGUACACAUACUCCACCUUUGCUGCUUAUGACAUGAAACUAUACCUUUUUCGAGCUGGGCUAAUCUGCGCCCGGGGAUUUGGGGGUUGAGGAGGGUGAGGGGGGGGCUAGAGGUGACACACGCAAACCCUCUUCUCCCGCCGGGCCCCACCCCCCAACCUUUUGGUCAGUUCUACGUCUGGUACACUCUUGCCCUGGCAGCAGCUUCACUCGUUUGUGGUUCGUCUUUCCCGACCCUAACGGGGGGCGGGGAAGGGGGGUGGAGGUCUGCCUGGUGUCGCGGUCGUGGUCGCCGGGUGGACGGCAUCAGAGGAGAAAGGUGAGAGGAGCGUCUGAAAGGAAAUGCUUUUGAAACACACAUACAUACAUACAUACGCACACAACCCAAACACGCUCGGCAAGCUGUACCUUUUUUGAUAUUCGUAUUAUUAUCACGGUCAUUAUUUGCUGCUUCAGGUUGCGUAGCCGCCGCGAGAAGAUACCUAGUUGGACGUUGAGGGGAGGGGAGGGUGAAGACAUCGGCGACAGAUUCGGUGUUAAUCUACUGCUGCUGCUGCUGCUGCUGCAAGAGCUGUUGGAACUUGCUAUUAUUAUUAUUAUUAUUAUUAUUAUUAUUAUUAUUAUUAUUAUUAUUAUUAUUGCUGCUGCUACUGCUGUUGUUGCUGCGGCUACUGUUGAGAUUGUUGUCGUUGAAUCACGGGGGUAAUGGUCGGCCCGGUGGGUGGUUAUGGCGGUGGCAACCACCUUCGCCGCGUUUGGCCCUCUCAGCAUGUCGUACACACACUGUACUGCUAUGCGACCGUCGUACGGAAUCUACGCAGAGAGUCUUUAUGUCGUUGGUCUCCCUCACCUUCCUGCACACACACAUGCUCCCUCCACCCUCGCACGCAAAAUAACACGUACGUAUAUACACAGCAACCUCCAAUGCCGUACAUCCUUACCACACUUCUCCCCCUCUCGCCAUCUGUCACCACUCCAGCAAGCAGCGCCAGAUAUUUUCACCAACGAACAUAACCAACUUGUUGACACCCUCCAGUCCUCCGGUGUAGUACAGAUGCUUACUCAUUAUGUACGGAAUACGGUGUGGGUGUAUACGGGUGUCGGUGUAAACGGCACUCACACAUACACUACUCCCACGACCAUCCGUACCACCCCUGUAUUCACCCUCAUCGUCCCUCACCGCAGUGCACCCGUAGCAGAGACGUCGAACGCCGCACGUCACUCAGUGCACCAACAUGUCAUACGUUCCUAAAAAAGUAUAAAAAAGCUGAGUUGGGAUAUCACGAUGAACAGCUCCGGCUAGGAUUUGAACAGGAUAUUAAAUCAACCAGGAGACAGCGGCAACCUACAGCGUCACAUAACUGACAGACAUGUAAAGCCAUGUUAAUAAAACGCCAGCAAAGGCGCCAUGACAACAUCGUAAGCCCAAUGCUGGCCAACGCUACAUAACGGAAUACAUUAUGGAACAUGUCUUUGUGACCGCACCGCAUACAGUCACCAUACAGCAUAUAAGGAGAUAGAUAACAUCCGCGAUGAAAGCGAGGGGGAUGCGGAACGAGAGGUAAAAAUGUUUUUGAUCGUAACCUGAAGCCCAGGCGCGAUUAUGGCAUCCGUACCAUCCGUUGCCCGUGCCGUACUACUGUUGUUAUAUCUGCCCCAUCCGCCACCGCCAUCACAGCCCAUCCCCAUCCGCAACCGCCGCGUCCGGCCCCUCCGAAAGCAACCUGUCUAGUUUGUACGAUAGAGGGAAAAGAUGCAGCGCCGUACUGUUGAAUGCGGAAGCUACCGGGAAGCCGAGGUCGGGGGUAGCAAGCUCCACCACUGCCCCUAACGGCGGUAGAAGAGAGGGGGGAGGGGGUGGGGAAUUCAAACAGCGUGCGUGUGUGCGUGUGUGUGUGUGUGUGUGUGUGAAAGCCCCACCUCGACGAAUAGGUGAGGCGAGGAGAGAUGCGGUGAGAUGUGGGUUUGUUGGACCCGGAAAGGUCUCCCCCCCCUCGUCGUGAUGCUCGUCAGUCGGGUGGUGCACCCUCUCUCCCGCUUCGGAGGGUUCGGGGUUCGGGGGGAAGAAGGGCUGAGAGCGGGUUGAUGGGUUAUACAGCGGUUGCCUGCGUUCAAUGCCGAAUCAAUGCCGAAUGCGUUGAAUCAUUCGAAGCAUAACACCUGUUGCACGAGGGGGGGAGACGUGGCGCUAGUCCGCCGCCCAGUUCUCCCACCACCCCCUGAAUCACUCACCGGCCAGACAGCAACGGACCACAGGUCCAGGGGAAGCCAGUGGACGAGCUUUAUGCGCCUCCUGGGCCUUGCGACUGCCGCCACCGGCACCGCCGCUGCCCGCCAGCCGCAUCUCCCACCUGCACACCGCCGCCAUCACCCACUGACAUGAUGACGGGGUAUACGACAAAUAACAACGACGGCGACGAUGAUGAUGGUGAUGUGUCGUACCACAAGGCGAUGGAAUAAAUGCUUAUGGCUCCCCUUAGAUAAUUGUGAGAUGUGGUUGACUGAGUCAACACUACCUGCCGCCCCUGGAGGCAUGCACUCCGUGAGAUGUGCAGGAGUAUGUAUGUAUGUAUGUAUGUAUGUAUGUAUGUAUGUAUGUAUGUAUGUAUGUAUGUGGUUGCACACGAAACACACAGACCGCAGAGAGCGGUAGCAAGCGCACUGCCGUGCAAUGUGUGGUACAAAGCUUCUGCAAUGUACGCUGAGGACACUGGUACGGCACGCACCGUUCCAAGUACUGUCGGAAGCUGUUGCCCAGCAGCGCAACCAGCGGUACCCCGACCACCACCACCGCAUCGGUGCCGGUUGCGGGGGGGGUUCCACGGCUAGCCGGGGCGCCAUCGCCGCCGCGGCCGCCGGCACCAGUACUCCAGUUGGCUCGCAACAGGGUGUCGUACAGCUCCCCCUCGCAAUGUGGCAUGUAAAAGAACGUGGGCUCCGUCACUUUCCGGCCCCCGCCCUCAUCCACCUCCAAAACCUGCGGGGGGUCGGUUAAAACCGGCGGCAUAUAACCACGUUGCGCCUGACGAAGGAGCAGGGGAAAUGUAUGUGUAUGUGUUUUUGAGGGGAGGUGGAGGGCCAGGGAGACGCAAGGGGUGAUGCGCACAGACAAACGUUUGGCAGGAUGGCAGAAAUUAAGGCCUGACUUCUGCUCCCGGAGGCUCCGGGUUCAAAUCCGCCUGCCGACCCCGCUUCUCGGUGUGUGCGGGGUGUUGAAUUGGGAGGUGGCCCCCCAUCUUGUGGACGGUGUAUGACGUGAUUAUAUCAACUUGCGCAAGCUGACCAGGAACUAAGUUGAGGCGCCGUUGAUCCGCUAGAUUUGGUUGGAUGCUGGUGGUGAGUUGCUGAACCCAACGAAUACAUUCUGAAGUCGGAUGGGGUGAAUGGAUUAGGGUGCCCCUCUCGCAGGGGAGAGCAGGGAACUGCCUCCAAGGGAAAGGGGGCCGCUGGUGAAGCAAUACCACCCUGUAACAUCAUACCCACACACACACCUCUUUUGCACAAAUCCCCACCUGUAACCCUAGAUGCUGUAGCGCCAGCCUGUCUAUGUCAUCGAAUGCCGGGUCGUACAGCUGUACGGCAGAGCUGAGGCCACCCAGAACCUGGUCGCGGAGCAGCAGCACCAGCGCCAACUGCAGCACAGUCACAUAAUCACCGCCGGGGAGUAUGACGCAUACACACACACGUGCGUGACGGAAAGCAACGGGCGUGUGCGUAUGUGUGUGUGGGGGGACGAGGGGGGGCCAAGUGUGAUAGUGGAGAGGUGGAGAGAAAAAAAGGGAGAGACAGCGGCAGGCUACGAGCUGCCGGGACUGGGUAAGGGGGAAGAUGUGCUUAGCUUUACAUGUCCUACAGUACACAGUCGUACACAGUACCGCUGGCAACUUGGACGACAGCAUCGUGUACAUAACCAGCAAGUCUUCCUUUCCGUACGACGGCCCGAUGUACGACGCUUGACGUACCUGAUACCUUGAAACCCGGCUGAGAUGCGGUGAGCCCAGGCCGUACACCACCAGGUUGCGAAUAACACCCCAACCGAUCAGGCCACCACCGCCGCCACC